CCUCCAACGGCUGCAACUUACCAUGCGGUCUCUGGUGCUCGGCCUUAACCCUUCGACAGGUUAAGCACCUCUCCACGAACCACGCGACAUCCCUCUUCAUACAGGGCCACCAAUACUCUAUCCUCAGAUCUAAAUACAUCAUAGUGGCCCCAGGAUGGAUCGAGAAUUUCGACCGAUGAGCCUCUUACAUCAAAAUGGUACGCGUCCCUCCCACAAACGGUACCCAUCUACGCCCCUGAAAUGUCAUAAGCCCCCGACCAUCGGUAACGAAUUCCGAUACCAAUCCAACAACUCGCUCUCUCUUCUGGUUCUCCAAUCUCACGGCCUCAGCCUGAGCUCCACGAAUGUCAUCCAACACCGGAGCCAUCACGGUCAACCGUAAACAAACAUCCCGCAAUGGGGCGCUCUCCGCCCUGCGACUCAGGGCGUCGGCUACCACAUUAGCCUUCCCCAGAUGAUAUAGGAUCUUACAAUCAUAAUCCUUGACCACAUCCAUCCACCUCCUCUGUCUCAUAUUUAGGUUAGGCUGAUCCAUCAAAUACUUAAGGCUCUUAUGGUCCAUGUAUAUCAUACACCGAACCGCAUACAGAUAGUGACGCCAAAUUUUGAGGGCGAACACCACCGCCCCCAACUCUAGAUCAUGGGUAGGACACCUCGUCUCAUGAGGCUUCAGCUGCCUCGAUACGUAUGCUAUCACAUGCCCUCUCUGCAUCAGCACCGCUCCCAACCCCAAGAUCGACGCAUCAUAGUAUACCAAAAAGUCCUCCAUCCCCUCCGGGAGGGAUAAGACUGGGGCUUCGCAUAAUCUUUGGUGAAGCGUCUCAAAGGAGGUCUGCUGCUUGGGGCCCCAUGAAAAAGUGACACCCUUCCGGGUCAACCUGGUGAGUGGCACUGCGAUCUUAGAGAAAUCCCUGAUAAAUCUCCGAUAAUACCCUGCUAACCCUAAGAAACUCCUAAUGUCGGAGGGUGACCUCGGCACCUCCCAACUCAUCACCACCUCAACUUUGGCCGCGGUCGACCAAUAUCCCUCUCUGGUUAACGAGAUGUCCUAGGAAUUGGACCUCUCGCAACCAGAAAUCACACUUGGAGAAUUUGGCAUAAAGCCUCUCCGAUCUCAGAACUCCGAGGAUCUCCCUCAAAUGCUCCUCAUGCUGCUCUUUAGAUCUCGAAUAUACCAAAAUGUCGUCGAUGAAUACAAUCACCGACCGAUCCAACAUCGGCCUGCACACUCGGUUCAUGAGGUCCAUGAACACUGCCGGGACAUUGGUGAGCCCGAAAGGCAUCACCACAAACUCGUAAUGCCCAUAAUGCGUCCUGAACGCUGUCUUCUGGAUGUCCUCAUCUCGCACCCUCACCUGAUGAUAUCCAGAACUCAAAUCGUUCUUGGAGAACCAAGAUGCUCCCUGCAACUGAUCGAACAAAUCGUCGAUCCUCGGCAACGGGUAACAGUUCUUGACCGUCAGCUUGUUCAACUCCCGGUAAUCAAUAAACAUCCGGUGUGAACCAUCCUUCUUCUUGACAAAAAGGAUAGGCGCUCCCCACGGCGAGCUGCUCGGCCGAAUAAACCCCUUUCCCAGCAGCUCCUGAAGCUGCGAGGAUAACUCUUGCAUCUCUGGAGGUGCAAGGCGAUAAGGCACCUUGGCGAUAGGCGCGGCCCCCGGAACCAAAUCGAUACUGAACUCCACUUGCCUCACAGGAGGCACACCCGGCAACUCCUCUGGAAAUACAUCCGGGAACUCACGCACUAUCGGAACCUCCUCAACUGACCUUGGCCUCUCUGAAUCAACCCGCGUAUCCAUCACAUACGCCACAAAACCCUUACAGCCCUGCUGUAGACACUGCCUCACCCUAGCGGCCGAACAAAACGCUGACCCAGAACGUGUACCCUCGCCGUACACCAUAAGAACUCCCCCACUAGGGUCUCGUAUGGUCACCAGCUGCCGCUCGCAGCCGAUAACCGCACCGAAUCUGCUCAACCAGUCCAUGCCCACAAUGACACAGACAUCAUCCAUCGCAAUAGGAACCAAAUCAAUCGGGAACUCAACACCGAAUAUCUCGAAUACACACCCACGGAUCAUCUCCGUGGCAUAUUUCACCCUCUCGUCAGUUAUGGAAACUCUCAGAGGCUGACUCAACACCUCACGACUAGUAUUGAUAUGCUGACUAAAAGCCAAAGAUACAAAAGACCGACUCGCACCCGAGUCAAAUAACACCAAGACGGGUACAGAAUUCACAAGAAAAGUACCUACGCAUAACAUAAUAUAAGCAUAAUAUGUCAACAUCAAAAUAAAUACACGAAAGAAUAUAUAAUAGCCACGACAUCAGGCACUGCGCGGACCUCCUCCGUGGUCAACUGGAAGGCUCUCCCUCAUGCCCUCGGCGCCUCGGCCUUCACUGGCCAACUGUCAAUAGCUCUGAUGGCGCCAGGGGCAGAUCCCUGAGGUGCUCCCUGAGCUGAUCCCCGCAACUGCAGACACUCUGCCUUCCGGUGUCCGGUCUGGUUGCAGUGAAAACACACUGCAAACCCCUUGGGGCAGUCCUUGGCCAUAUGCCCCUCAUUGCCACACUUGUAGCAAGAUCAAGCUCUACAAACUCCAUCAUGACCCUUGUCGCACUUCCCACAAGUGCGGCCCUUCUGGCUCCUUGAUUUGGGAUCAGUGAGCUUGGCCUGCUUGGCUGCCAGCUAGGACUGUGCCGGUCGCCAAUCCCUCCCCUGAGACUCCGCCUCCUCCCUAGCCUGAGUCUCUAGCUCAAUCUCCCUCUUCCGGGCAUUUUCCUGAAGCUUGGAAAAUGUUCGGUACGAGGAGUUCAGCACAAACUCCCGAAUGUCUCGCCUGAAGAUACUCAAAUAUCGGCUCAUACAUGCCUGCUCAGUAGACACGUGCUCAGGGCAGAACAUCGCCCUCUCAUGGAACAUCUUGGUAAUCACUGUAACAGACUCAGUACCCUGCUUGAAGGUCAGAAACUCCUGGGCCAAACGCUCCCUCUCCACCUGGGGAACGUACUCAUCUCGGAACAUGGCAGUGAACCUCUCCCAGGUCACUACCGCAAGCUCAGAAGGUGUAAAGUGCGUUGUCACAAACUUCCACCAAUCCUUCGCUCCCAAGCGAAGCUGGUUCAGCGCUAACCGAACUCUCAAAUGCUCAGGAGAUGACCAAGUGAAGAAACACCCCUCUAUGUCUGAAAUCCAUCUCAUAGCCGCCACCGGGUCUUGGGUCUCAUCAAACUCCGGCGGUUUUGUGUUGCUGAACUCUCGGAGCAGCAACGCAUCACCAUGCUACGGCCUCGCGGCAACAAUAGUUGUGGUGGCUGCUGCAACAGCAGCCUCAGAAAGAGCGGCAUAACGCUCGUCGAAAGUCUCAAUCAACAUGGUCUUAAUAGACCCGAACAUCUCUGGUAUCUCUGCCCUGAUGGCCGCAGCCACCUCCUCAUGGAUGAUCCGGCGGAUCUCCUCAUCACUGGCCCCACUGCUCUCAGGCAUAAGACGUGUCCUCACCAUGAUCUACCUCUGAAAUACAACAUAUGAUAAAUUAGAAUCCAUUCGAGCAUACUCACACUCGACAACUCAUCCCUCCUUGAUCCUUGGCAUUCCAAAGAUUCUUACUUGGACUGUACACCGCCCCGGUGCUUUCAGUAGUACGGGCCCAAUACUACUGUCCGCACCGUAUCAGUAUACACCCCAAGUCCUCCUCUUCGGAUCCCAAGUUCCAAGUACUCUAUUAUGCACAAUCCACUCUCUAACAGAUCUCUCAUAAGCUCCUCCCUGCUACAUACUCACUCUCAAGCAUCUCAUAGCAGCUCACCUCUCCCUAGGCUAAGGCAUCACAAAUCAGGCCACUCUAGUCCUAAUAGGAGUACCUAGCCUACUCUAGCAUGAGAAUACAUCAUAUCAAUAUCAUAACACAUAUCAUGAGGGUAUCUUGGGAAAUUAUCGUUCGGGUGCGCACUGAUCGUACACACGACUCUGCUCUGUGUUUUCCAAAAAUCUUUUACUCUUUUUGAAAAUACUUCUCAAAUCCUCAGUUUGAGUUCAAAUACGCCCGAAGGUGUACUCGAAUCCCUCAAACCAAGGCUCUGAUACCAACUUGUAACACCAUAAAUUUCAAAACAAUUUUUCGCAUAUUAUAAAAGCAUAAAUCAUUUAAUAUUCAUAAAAACAUCAAUGUUUGAAACUCAAUCCAUGACAUAUAACAAUCCCAAGAUCUUGUAACAUAAAAUCCCGUGUGUGUAUUGAUCAAGCCGGCGCCUUCCCACGGUCAUCACUAGUACCUGAAACAAAUAACACCAAACACUGUAAGCACAAAGCUUAGUGAGUUCCCCAAAAUACCACACAUAGUACAUAUUAGCCACUCGAGGCUAUAACUAUGUGGGUCUGUGGACCCUACUCUGUGAAACCUCUGGUUCUAACUUUGUGAACCUUCCGGUUCCAACUCAGAUUACCUAAUCAAGGUAAAGUAUAUUGAGAAUACUCACCUCGGGUAUCUCAGUAAAUAUCUAUCUCGGAACAAAUGUGAUCUAGCCUCCUCCUAAUCACACAAAGUAACACACCCAUAAAUACACUGAACUCAACCCUAUAGGUCAGCAUGGUCAAUGGUCAACUUUGACCGGACUCGGCGAGUGCACUAGAGCGACUCGGCGAGUCUAUGCAUGUCCACUGAAUCCCUUGGAUCAUCUCUCGACACGUCGAGUACUUCCGUAACUCGACGAGUUCCACUUGGCAUGAAUCGCGGGUACACCACGACUCAAAUCGCCGAGUCUCAAGAACAACUUGGCGAGUUCCGGCUUCACUCAGCUCCCCCCCCCUUGACUCUCCCUGACUCACUGGGUCAUCCCCCUACCCAGCGAGUCUAUUCGCUAAACAAUUUAUGUGAAACCCAAACCCUACUCGCCGAGUCUCAAGAACAACUCGGCGAGUUCAUGCCAUGCACAAACUCUAUUGACCUUCUGUGGUCAGAUCUAUUUCCCCAAACCAUAGAUCUGGCCUUCCUAAGCAUGAAUGUCACGUAAAGUUCGAAACUUGAUGCUUGUAUAACCACAACAAGGCAUCAAAAGGAGAUUUGGUCCCAAAAAUGACAACCUAGGUCCAAUAACUCCAUACUAACCCAAAAAGCUCCAACGGUUAAGGUCUCUGGACCUCUUUGAGUCCAGAUCCAAGGCACAAACUCGAAGAGGGACCAUUUGCUCCACAUAAUCACUCUCCAAAGGGGUUAGAAAACCCUAACUCUAAAGAUCAACCCUAAAACUGAAGGAGGUUCGAACUAUUACCUCAAAAUGAAGUCUCUGGACUCUGGAUCUGCUUGAAUCUCACCUCCUCCUUGCUCUUGUCACCUUCUUCUUGCUAAACAAAGGAUACAAAGAUCCAAAAGUGACUUAUUCUCUCUCAAAGCGAUUUAGCUCUCUUAGGGUUCUCUCAAGGGGCUGGUAGCUGCAAUGGGAGGCUAUAAGUGCCCUUAAAUAGGCUCCAAACCCGGGGAAUUAGGGUUUCAUUAAACAGCAUGGACUCGCCGAGUCCAGACGCGAACCCGUGUCCAUAACCGCGAUCAUACUCGGCGAGUUUGAGGUCCAACUCGUCGAGUCUCCUCACAAAUCACCAAAAAAAUACAAGAAUAAAUAAUACCUAGGAAUCUGGGGUGUUACACCUAAGCCCAUAAGUCUUAUUGGUAUGUACUCGACCCGAGUGUAGCAUGGUCCAUUUGGGUUGCAUAUCAUCAGAACAAUUUGUUAGGAUGGACUUUUGAGAGAAGGUAAUUUAUGUUUUAUGAAUAUAUCAUAAGUUAUAAUAUAUUAAUAUGCAAUCAUAUGUUUUAAUUAGUAUUGAUCAAGAAUUAAUUUGGAAUUAAUUUAUUGAUCAAAGGAGACUAAUUAAAUCUACGGGCACUAAUUAUGAUAAUUAGUUAUAUUUAUAUGUGUUGGGCUUAUGAUCCAUGUUGGACCAAGUUUAUGUAUGGAUACAUAAAGAGUUGGGCCACAUGAACCAUGGAUCAUAAAAACCUAUGGUAUGACAACCCGAAACUUAUCCCGUUUCCAUUACGCGAUUCCGUUAAUAAAAAUUCAAAAUUUGUUAACUUUUUCGUCAAACACUUUGGUUUAUUAAAAUAAUCUAGUUAUAUUUAAUUAAAUUAUUUACUAAUCGGAACGAAAAAGCGCGUGGAAACCCAAAAAUCAGGAAAAAAAAUAAAACAUUUCUGGUCGAAGUGGGUUUACGACUGUAAACGUGUUUACGACCGUAAACUUGUUUACGACCGUAAACUCGUUUACGACCUGACGAGUGGACCCCUCACCUCACCCCUACAAAUGCGAUGCCUACGACUUCAUUAGGAUGAUUCUGGCCACACUCUCUCCUCCUCUCUCUAAGAAUCUCGACCGUAAACACUCAAAACGCAUUCAAACUCCGGAAAACAUUGACAAAACCACGUUUGGAGCCCUUUGGAACGCCUGGAAAGACUCAGCUCGUCGAAAUCAACAUCCAAGCAUCAUUUUUCCAAGUUUAUGGUCCAAACCUUAAAAGACCGUAAACUCGGUUCUUAAGUUUAUGGCCGUAAACUCGGCAAUCUGAAGAAACCGUAAACUCGCCAAUCUUCAGAAACUGUAAACUCACCAAUCUUCAGAAACCGUAAACUCGCCAACCUUCAGAGACCGUAAACACCUUUUUGGUGGUAUUUUGGCUGAGAACCCAUUUCUUCGAUUCAAGCAAGUCUCGGUAACAUUCGUCAACCGAAUUCAAGUGUUCUUAUGACACUUUAUUUAUCGAAAUCGCUAAUAUAGAUACAUAUACAUAUUUAUUUGAUAAUAGGAUUUCGUUAAGUGUCACGUGCAACAACUCGGGAACCUUCUUUUCAGUCAACAACUCCACACAACUAUUGUGAGUUCAUACCCUUACAUUUUUCGGUAUUUUAAAGUUUUUCAGGGGGGGAAUACAAGCUAAACAUAAAUGUUUUUCUUAUAAGCUAAACAUAAAUGUUUUUAGGAACAUACACAAAAACUUAUUCAAAUUUCAUACUUUAUUUCCCUUUUGCACUAUGUUGAGCAUAAGGAACAUUUUCAAAAAAAUUGCACAGUUUAUCCGGACACGUUAUUCGCUAAGUUAUACAUGCAAACUAUAAUCGGUAUAGUUUGGGAUUUCUCUAAAAACUUAUCAAGCAUAGGAACUUCUCUACUAAACGUAUGCACUGGAACAGAAACCGUUUACAGUUUAUAUCACUGUUUAAUCAUGAUUUUCAUAACUGUAACUUAUCAUUAUACAUGGUAUACAUUCGGAUUCUCACUACGGUAGAACGCUACUUCAUCACUUGUAAACUAGAUUGUACGAUACUAUUGGGCGCUACUUCACUACUAUACCCUUAGGUGUACAGGGAUAAAUCCAACCACUAUAUAACCAGAGUCUACUAGAGGGAGAGCGUGAGAUUUGUGAAUAGAUCUAUUCGGGACUGACAAUCCCACAUCUGGACUGCUAGCUACAGUUAGGCGGGCACGCCUGAGAUGUACUAAUGUCAUUUAACAUCAACGCCUGAAGAACGUUGGAAGGGUCACUAGUCAUAUCAAGCAUGGUUAUACGACUCACAUUAUGUGUAAAUCACCGAUAGUUUACCAACCUGGUUUUCUUCAGUACUUUUAUUUAUACCAAAUAGAACUAAACACACUAUGCAUACUGGCUGAGCCAGGGUUUUCAAAACCGAAUCAUCUAUGCUACGGUUUUACAUUUAAAUACGUAUACUUCAUAAAUAACUUUAGAUAGUCACAUGAAGUAGUAUUUUGCAUAUCUUUACGAUUUUUAGAAACGAACAUUCACGGUUGUAUACGAAAUCGAUCACACUAUGUUUUUCACUAAAGAAAAAAUCGGAUUUUCUUGAAACUACAUAAUCAUUUCGGCUCGCUCGUCAAUAAGUUUUCAUUACAAAUUACUGCUUAUGAACUCACCAGCUUUAUGCUGAUAUUUUCAAACUACUUGUAUUCUCAGGAAAUUAGUAGACAGGUACUUGCUGGAUUUUCGAGGAACCGAAGCGUUUAGAUUUUUUAAGUUUUUAAAUUGCAAAACUAUUGGAUGUAUUUCAAACUGAGUUACAAACAUAUGUAAUGUUCAAACUGAGUUUCAAACCCUGUAUUAACUAGUUUAGGUGCAAUGUAAUGUUCACUUGUACUUGAAUCUGUACGUAUGUCUUGUUGAAUAAAAACAACUGUUAUCCAAAAGAUAGUAAUGUAUAACCGCUGAAAUUGUGAAAUUGUAUAUAUUGAAACCCCAAACUAUACCUAUUAUACUUUGCAUGUGUGUUGAGUACCUGGUUCAUGUAUUAUUCUAAAAACUAUGCAAUUAUAGAUGUGAUUUGAAAACUUCCCUUAUGCUCAGCAUAAUACAAAAAGGAUAAUAUAUUUAAACAUUUUAUAAAAUGUGUUGAUCUUUUGGUUGUAUUUAAACGAUUUUCUAAACCAUAAUAAUUUAACGGAACAAAUAAAAUUCGGGAUUUUAUUUAACAUAAUUGAUUAACGUUGACGAAAAAAGGUUCAGGUUGUAACAUGCAUAAAUUUUACACCAAAUUUAAACUUUUUCAAUCAUAAAUAAAAAUCAAAUAGCAUUGUUUACAAAAGUGUUUUCAAAUCAAUAUCCAUCAGAGUAUCCCAAAAUCAUAACAUAAGGAUGAGGAGCGAUACGAUCACGCCUUCGCCUUUCCAUGAUCCCCCGAAGUACCUGAAACAAUAAACUGAAACUGUAAGCCCGAGGCAUUAGUGAGAUACCCCCAAAAUACCAAUACCACAGUGACAAUGCCGUAUCAAUAACAAUCAAUCAAUCAACAUGCAUACUGGUCCUUGUCCUGAAUGGACCGCCCUCCUGGGCCUACAGUCUAUCUGAAUCUAUCCUGAGCCUUCGGCAUGACUUGUCCGCCUCGUGGGCUUGUAGUCUCCCCGAACCACUCAUAGGGUAUGUUAGCCUUUAGCACAAUGUAGGACUGCCUCAACCCAACCAACAAGCAACUAACCAUGUGCGCAUAACUAUCAUAUACCGACAUAUAAAAACAUCAAACAUAUCUAUCACACUAAUCAUCAACCAUAGAAUUCUCUCAUAACUAGAGUACCGACCUAGCAUGUCCCUUACAUAUCAGUCCUUACGGAUCAUAUGAGCAUAACAUACUAUCUAGCCUGAUUCUGAUCUAACAGAUCAUAACCACAUGUAGCCUACCAUAACAUCAACAACUAAAGGGAUGGCCUUGGUGCCGUAGACCCUAUCGAUAUAGUGAGGAUAACUCACCUUGCAAAUGUCAACUCGGAAGAUAAACUCCAACCCUCAGAUCACUUGACACAUGCUCCACCACCUAUGAUCAUAGUACAAUAUACUCAUAAGUCCUUAAACUUAUAAGGUACUCCAUAACCCACCAGUCAACCCCUAGACAAAGUCAAAGUCCUCAGUCAAGAUUAACAGUCCAUGUUGACCCCAACUCGCCGAGUACCCUCGGCUACACGUCGCGUUCCUUGAAGGACAAUCCAACUUGCCGAGUUAUCAGGUGACUCGUCGAGUUUCUUCGAUUCUCAAUCAAACUUUAAGGCCACCCGUUGACUUCCAUCCUUGCAACUCAACGGAUACACACACAUACAUAUUCUAGGGAAAAAUCAUUUGACUCGCCGAGUUGUUCUUCAACUCAUCGAGUCUUAUGGUAAUCUUCAUCGGACUCGCCAAGUUGUUCAUCCAACUCGUCGAGUUCACGACAUCUUCAUGUGACUCGCCCAGUCAACCUUGCGACUCGUCGAGUCCAUUCAGUCCUCUUUCGAUACACACUUGUUUUGAGCAAUGCAGCGGCUCCAAAUCACAGAUCCAAGCUUCUAUGGAAUGCUUAUCACGUAAAGUUGCAAACUUUACGUGCAUGCAUGGCUAUAAAGGCUCUAAAUGCCUAUUUUAAGUUCUUAAUGGAACUUCAUGCUCAAGGGGGACCUUAAUCAUGACCAAAACUGAAACUUUAUACUUCUAGAGUCCAAGGAGGGUCCAGAUCUGAAGUUACAACCUUAGAUCUAGCCCAUAGCUCCUCUUUCCAACUUAUUAACUCACCAAAAACCCUAAAACUCAACAAAUAGAAGAGAUUCACAAGGAAAAGGCGAUGUGGUUACCUCCAGAAGAUGAUAAUUGAGGUAAAACUUGAUUCCCACACUCUACUUGCUCCAAUCUCUUUCUCCUCCAAGCCUUCUCUCUCUAAAGAUCCUCUUCUCAAGCUUCAAACACACAAUAGGCACACACACAUGCGUGUUAGGGUUUUAAGGGGCUCUUAAAGACUGCAAAGAGGGCAAAGGAGGCUAAGGCUCCUUUAAAUAGAGGUGCAAACCCCAUGAUUUAGGGUUUCAUCUGCCAGCUACUACUCGCCGAGUCCUAAUAUGGACUCGUCGAGUAGGUCACUUAACACGCGAUCCCACCCCGCUGCUACUCGACGAGUAGAUCAACCAACUCGUCAAGUAAACCUUAACCCAAUAAUAAAAAAUACAUGAGAAUCGGGGUGUUACAACUCUCCCCCACUUGAACUAGACUUCGCCCUCGAUGUCCGCUGGAAUAAACAAUGUCGGGUAAUGCUCGCACAUCUCCGCCUACGGCUCCCAUGUCUACUCGGAUCCCUUCUGAUGUUCCCACCGUACCUUUACUAAAGGUAUUUCCUUGUUCCGCAGAAUCUUCAUCUUCCUUUCCAAAAUAGCCACAUGCCUCUCCACAUAGUUCAGGCGCUCAUCGACUUGAAUGUCAUCCAACAAUACCACUGCCUCCUGGUCAAUAUUGCAUUUUCACAAUUGCGAAACAUGAAAUGUGUUGUGGAUCCGGCUAAACUCCUCCGGAAGCUCUAGCCUAUAAGCCACCCUGCCAACCCUGGCAAUAAUCCUGAACAAACCAAUAUAACGAGGUAUCAAUUUUCCCCUCUUCCAGAAGCGGAUCACGCCCUUCCAGGGUGAGACCUUCAUGAGAACCAUGUCACCCACCUGAAAUUCCAGCUCAAAUCUGUCACACCCCAAAACCACAAACGGCGGAAACGUUCCGGGGUGGAGGACGUAAUGUACAGUAUCACAAUAGUGUAAAAUAGUAAACAAGCAACAACAUCAUCCAUUGCAUUAUAAGUAAAGUUUUAAGACAUGUGUUCAUUCAUCGUAAUAAGACACCAAAAGUAUAUAAUCAAUAUAAAAGACAAGACUUGUCUGCUCCGUCUUCUCAAAACCUGUCCACCAUACCUGUCUACUGAUGACCUGAGAAUACAAGUUAUUUUGAAAGAGAGUAUCAACUUUAAAGCUGGUGAAUUCAUAAGUAUUUAAGUGUCAUUGUCUUGCAUUGAAAAGCUGUUUUAAAAGUCAUGUAAACCAUUAAAUGAAAAUGUUGAUAUAAGUAUGAAAAACCCUAAGAAAUCCCUUAUUUCCUACUAGUAUGAAAUGUAGUCUUCUACCAGGACCCGAAUGUUUUGUUAUGGCAAUGUAGUCUUCUACCAAGACCCGAAUGUUUUGUUAGUAAAAAUGAUAGUUUUUCCUUUCUAUGGACUAGUACUAAAAGUACUUAGUCUAACUCCUCGUUUAUGUGAAUGUAUCACAAAAUAAAGUAAAUAGGAAAAUGUACUAAUUUAAGUGUUAUCCCUGGAUUACCAGGAUUAACACGACAUCACCGAAGCGAAAGGGUAUAACCUAAUGAACAUCCGAAGAUUGUCCAAUUAACCUCUGUAGCGAACACAAGGUUCCAGGAAUGGUUAGUCCCGUAGCUAGCUCUAUAAUGCUGUAUGAGAAAUAGAUAACCUAAUGAACAUCCAAAGAUUUUCCAAUUAACCUCUGUAGCGAACAGUAGGUUCCAGGAAUGGGUAAUCCCGUAACUGUCUCCUAAUAUAAGUAAUAACCUUAGGCAUCCGUAGAUGUCCAUUAACCUCUGUAGCAAACAGUGGUUCCAGGAAUGGUUAGUCCCGUAACUGACUCUAUAUUACUUUAAGUGAAGUAAAUAACCUAAUGAACAUCCGAAGAUUGUCCAAUUAACCUCUGUAGCGAACAGUAGGUUCUAGGAAUGGUUAAUCCCGUAACUGACUCCCGUUGAACUAGGAUGGGCUGGAUGAUUUACUAAAGGUACUAAUAAAUCAUGUUUACGAAUCGAGUUUCAAGUAUUCAUGUAAGUAUACACAGGUACAUGUAUCUACGUAAAGGUAUUUAUGUAAGGUGUUCAUGUAAGCGUAUUAAUGUAUCAUGUAAGCAUAUGUAAUGGUACUCAUGUAUCAGGUAAUGUACUCGUAAAGUCUCAUGAAUGAACUGACUCUUGUGUGAUUCCUUAUAAUAGGAAUAAUGUUUGAUAUCUUCUAACUAUCCCUACGAUAGUUAACUGAAAGGUAAUUGGUUGUUCAAGUAGGUUUGUACACCCUUACUACACAAGAGUGUGAGAAGCUAAAUGAAAGACGAAAACUAUAACAUCAAUACAUAUAUAAGAAUAUAAGUGGAUAUGCAUAGUUUAGUUCAAGAAUGUAAAAUGGUUUUGUAAGAUAUCUAAGGGUUUUGAACAAAUAUAAAAGUGACUUGAUGUCAUUUUGAUAAACAUUUCAAAAGUAAUACAUUUGAUAACAAAGUAUUUUAAAGAUAGAAAACCAUUUCAUGCAUCACAUUUUGUAGUAUGUGAAAUCUGUUGAAUGAAAACACAGUUAUAAAAUACAUAUAAAUGAUUUAAUAACAUGUUGUUUUCUACUUGUAUUCCCCCCCCCCCCACCCCCCCCCAUUAAAGCAUUUAAAAUCAUUUAAAACAUUGAUUAGGAGUAUGAACUCACAUGUAGAUGGUGGUUUGGAUGAACUGGACGGUGUAGGAUUGUUAGGUGUCAAAUGAGGACUUGUACACACACUACGAUCCUAAUGAACAUAUAAUCACACCUAUAUGCACCCAAUUAGUCUUAAAUUACUAAUUGAUAAUGUUAAGACAUCCUAGAACAUAAUAAACACUUUAUAUAAGUGUUAUAAGCCCUAAGGAUUGCAUCUAAGCUAUUGUGGGACAAGGCACUUAGGGUUAGGGUUCCAAAGGACUCUAUACAUGAGUUUACUCUCCAUAUAGCAUCACAAAUGGUGUUUAUGGUUGUAAACUCUUGAUUUUACGGCCGUGAACUCCCAAUCUUGGUGAUAUUUUGUGUUUUGAAGUUCUAAAUGAUCCCUAGAAUUAUUCCAACUUGGUGGUUUAAUUCUUGGAAGGGUUUAAGGCAUAAAAACACCCCUUUGAGGAGUUUACGGCCUUAAGGCCAUUUCCUUUAGAGUUUGCGGCCGUAAACUCUUAAGAAUGGGUGUUUUUGAUGCUUUCAAGUCUCAUACACAUGUAGUAUAGGUCUUAAACUUUUAUCCCAAGCAUAUGAAGGCCUUAGGCACACUUUGGUGCCCUUCUUUGAUGUUCACGGCCCAAGAACCUUAUUAGGGCCGUGAACUCACUUUGAGGGGUGAUUUUGAUGUGUUUUGGUCCUUGAUUUAAGUGGAAACAAUUCCUAGUAAAUGUCUAAGGCUUUAGGUGCCUUAAAAGCACCCUUUUGUCCAUGAUUUUGGAGUUCACGGUCCAAGAUCUUCUUGGGCCGUGAACACCCAAACUUGGGUGAUUCUUUGAUGUUUUCUUGUCCCUAAUACACUUCUAUACAAGUCCAAGGUAGUAUCAUAUCACAAGGGAAGGUCUAGGCAUUGUUUCGGGAGUUUACCGCCCAAGAACACCUUGGGGAGUAAACUCCUAAAUCUAGUGAUUUAGCUAUCUAAAUCAUGUUAUAAACACAUAAUAAGCUUUCUAACACUACUAGAGAGAGUUACUCACGUUUUGGUAUAAAAACCCAAAGAUCCGUGUGAGAUAAAAUGGGUUUUCUCUAGUUGGAAAUGCGAAUAAUGAAUGAAAUUGGUUCAGAAUUCUAUUUAUAGUCCUGAGAUAUUUUUGGCAGAAAAUAUUUUUAUUCCUGAAAUGAUUUCUCAUAUAACAGAGUGUUGGAAUAACAGUNCACUAAACCCUAGUGCAUGCACUCUCCUGAUAUUUCCUGAAGUGCAAACCCUGAAUUACUCAAACUUACACGAAAAAGUCUAACAAUUAACUGUGACUUCUAUAACUUCUAUUGAAGUGAUAUAGUUUGUACAGAAUGGAAAUUUCGGGUUGUGACAUCAUCCCCCCGUUAGAAGGAAUUUCGUCCCGAAAUUAGAAUUUAAGCAAUUAAGAAGUUAUAAAUAACUAAGCGAAAAGGUGAGGGUAUUUCGGAUUCUUCUGAUCCUCUCGUUCCCAAGUGAAUUCAGGUCCACGCUUUGCGUUCCAGCGCACCUUCACUAUCGGGAUACGGCUCUGCUUUGUUUGCUUGACCUCUCGGUCCAUGAUCUCUACUGGUUCCUCCACAAAGUUGAGGCUCUCGUUGAUCUCGAUCUCGUCGAGUGGAAUAACAAGAGUCUCGUUGGAUAGAUACUUUUUCAAGUUCGAUACGUGGAAGGUAGGAUGUACCACUACUAGAGAACAGCCCUUUAAUGACGCGCAAACAAUGACAAGCAGUCAUCUACAAUACGCAAAAGUGUGUGCCCUAAAAAUAAUGUCAUCUCUUAUAAAAUUUGAAGGAUAGAGGACACGCAUUUGUGCAUACCCUAAAAUUUGUGUCAGAAAAGAAAAAAAAAGAAAUACAGAAGACGCCUAUCAUAAAAUGUGUGUCGUGUAAGUGUGUCGCUUUAUAUUUUUUUUAAUGAAACAUGCCUUUUAAGUGGGAAAUGAAAUCCCCAAAAAUUAGAACCCCGCCUAUUUCUUGUGAAAAAUUAAAACCUUCUUCCAAUUAGAAAGAAAGUAGCGCGCCUAGGGUUUUUGUCUUCUCUCUCUCUCUCUCUCCCUCUCUCUCUCUCUAGCCUAAAACCCAACCUACGAUUUCAAGAAAGACCUCAAGCUCAACCACUCCCUCUUCAGUUCUUCACCAUUCCUGUAUGACUCGUACCGAGUCUGGACUCUAUGUAUCUGGAAAACAAAAACAAGUAAAAGACUCUAAAACGCCUCCCUUUCUUCCACUCCCCCAUAUGUGAACCAGACCAGAUGAUGCGAUGACACCAUCUCCUGCCAGACUUUCAUCUCCGACAUAGAUGCAGCCGUCGAUUCCACUCCAGCCGACGAUUCCAUCACAGGUAAGAUUUUUGAUUUCCAUCAUAGCUUUGGUUUUUGAACCAUAAUUUUCCUAGUUCGAUUUUUUGAACGAGUUUACUUCUAUUCUAUUGCACCUUAGGGUUCGAUUUGUUGUAUUUAAUUAGUUACAAGAAGGUUACUCCAUUUAGGGUUUGUCUGGGAGAACUGCCUCCUCGUUCGUUUGAUGGUGCGAUAGCAACUGAAGUGGAUUCUGGCUCUUCGCCCUCGAAGCGUGAAUUGAAAUUGGAAAAGUUAAACUCCCUGAUUCAAUCCCCUGAAAUGAUUGUUCAAGGUAAGGUAGCUAAACCUUUAUUUAAUUAACUUUCCUGCCCUUUCUCCUAGCAUUUCGAAAAUCAAUUUAGCAAAUGAAAUGGAUAUUGUUUUGCACCAUAUAACUGAUCCUAAUCAAAAAUAUGAAUUCAAUAAAUGAUGGAAUGGGUUGCUGAUGGUGCCAAGAUAGAGUAUGGCUCGGAAAUUAAAAUAAAAAUAGAAAUAAAAGAGGAAUCGGCCUCAAAUCCUCUUAUUAUCAUAAUUUUCAUGUGGGAAUUGCAUACAGGGUCAAGGUUAAUCAUGAAAAAAGUUUUGAAAGUCAGUGUUUUCCCCUAAAUCUAAAGCAGGACCUGCUGUCAAGAUUAUAUCAGUUGCCAGGUGAAAUAUUGUUUUUCUUUUUGUUCACUUUGCUUUUUGAAAAAAAAUCUUNUAUUAUAUUCAUUUUUUUCUUUGUAUUAGAAACUUCUAUUCCAAGCUAGACUGGGUGAAAUUGAAAUAUUAUCUCCAUUUGAGUUUGUUGAUCAUUUAGACAGUGUCCAAAAUCCAUUAGCAUUUUCAAUUUACAACUUCUAUGUUCUUAUCGAGACAACAGGAAGCAAUGAAUCUAAUGACAAUUAACUAAAUUUUUUCUAUUUUACUUUACCUAUUUAUAUAUUUAUGUAUAAUAAUAAUUAUAUAUAAUAUCUAUCUGAAUUUUGUAGAGAGAAUGUUAAAGGUUUUCUUGUGGAUGCAAUGAAAAGUGGUUUAGUAAGUGAUGGAGCCAUAUCACAUGAUUUGAAUCAAACAUCAUCAUUUUGGCAAAUUCGUGAGGGAAUUCCAGAAGCAUUGCAGAAAGCUAGAGUUGUAUAUAAAUAUGAUUUGUCAAUUCUAGUUAAGAAAAUGUAUGAUCUUGUUGAAGAAAUGAGGAUACUUUUUAGUUAAAAGUUAAACUUUUUUUUUGAUGAAAAUUAUUUCAAUUUGUUAUGAUUUGCUAAUUUUGGUUUAAAAAAAGAAAAACAGGUGGUAAAGCAAAUGUAGUGGGAUAUGGUCACCUUGGAGAUGGAAACCUUCAUUUGAAUGUGUCGGGCUCCCAGUAUGAUGAUGUUGUAAGAUUUUUUAUUUUAUUUUUCAAAAAUAUGAAAUCAAAUUUUUUGCUAAUUGUUACAAUAAAAAAAAAUACAGAUUUUGGUUGAAACUGAACCAUUUGUGUAUGAAUGGACAUCAAAGCAGUAUGCGAGUAUUAGUGCUGAACAUGGAUUAGGUCUUAUGAAAGCUAAAAAGAUUUACUAUAGUAAGUCAACUGCAACUAACUGUAUGUCUACUUUUGUAUUAUUAUUAUUAUUAUUAUUAUUAUUAUUAUUAUUAUUAUUACCUUUUAGUCUUUCACUAAGGUCUUGUUUUUGUUUUACUUAAUGGACUUAAUAGUUCAAGGCCUAAUAGAUACAAAUAUAUAGAUUAGUUUUUUUUUUUUUUUUUUUNNNNNNNNNNNNNNNNNNNNNNNNNNNNNNNNNNNNNNNNNNNNNNNNNNNNNNNNNNNNNNNNNNNNNNNNNNNNNNNNNNNNNNNNNNNNNNNNNNNNNNNNNNNNNNNNNNNNNNNNNNNNNNNNNNNNNNNNNNNNNNNNNNNNNNNNNNNNNNNNNNNNNNNNNNNNNNNNNNNNNNNNNNNNNNNNNNNNNNNNNNNNNNNNNNNNNNNNNNNNNNNNNNNNNNNNNNNNNNNNNNNNNNNNNNNNNNNNNNNNNNNNNNNNNNNNNNNNNNNNNNNNNNNNNNNNNNNNNNNNNNNNNNNNNNNNNNNNNNNNNNNNNNNNNNNNNNNNNNNNNNNNNNNNNNNNNNNNNNNNNNNNNNNNNNNNNNNNNNNNNNNNNNNNNNNNNNNNNNNNNNNNNNNNNNNNNNNNNNNNNNNNNNNNNNNNNNNNNNNNNNNNNNNNNNNNNNNNNNNNNNNNNNNNNNNNNNNNNNNNNNNNNNNNNNNNNNNNNNNNNNNNNNNNNNNNNNNNNNNNNNNNNNNNNNNNNNNNNNNNNNNNNNNNNNNNNNNNNNNNNNNNNNNNNNNNNNNNNNNNNNNNNNNNNNNNNNNNNNNNNNNNNNNNNNNNNNNNNNNNNNNNNNNNNNNNNNNNNNNNNNNNNNNNNNNNNNNNNNNNNNNNNNNNNNNNNNNNNNNNNNNNNNNNNNNNNNNNNNNNNNNNNNNNNNNNNNNNNNNNNNNNNNNNNNNNNNNNNNNNNNNNNNNNNNNNNNNNNNNNNNNNNNNNNNNNNNNNNNNNNNNNNNNNNNNNNNNNNNNNNNNNNNNNNNNNNNNNNNNNNNNNNNNNNNNNNNNNNNNNNNNNNNNNNNNNNNNNNNNNNNNNNNNNNNNNNNNNNNNNNNNNNNNNNNNNNNNNNNNNNNNNNNNNNNNNNNNNNNNNNNNNNNNNNNNNNNNNNNNNNNNNNNNNNNNNNNNNNNNNNNNNNNNNNNNNNNNNNNNNNNNNNNNNNNNNNNNNNNNNNNNNNNNNNNNNNNNNNNNNNNNNNNNNNNNNNNNNNNNNNNNNNNNNNNNNNNNNNNNNNNNNNNNNNNNNNNNNNNNNNNNNNNNNNNNNNNNNNNNNNNNNNNNNNNNNNNNNNNNNNNNNNNNNNNNNNNNNNNNNNNNNNNNNNNNNNNNNNNNNNNNNNNNNNNNNNNNNNNNNNNNNNNNNNNNNNNNNNNNNNNNNNNNNNNNNNNNNNNNNNNNNNNNNNNNNNNNNNNNNNNNNNNNNNNNNNNNNNNNNNNNNNNNNNNNNNNNNNNNNNNNNNNNNNNNNNNNNNNNNNNNNNNNNNNNNNNNNNNNNNNNNNNNNNNNNNNNNNNNNNNNNNNNNNNNNNNNNNNNNNNNNNNNNNNNNNNNNNNNNNNNNNNNNNNNNNNNNNNNNNNNNNNNNNNNNNNNNNNNNNNNNNNNNNNNNNNNNNNNNNNNNNNNNNNNNNNNNNNNNNNNNNNNNNNNNNNNNNNNNNNNNNNNNNNNNNNNNNNNNNNNNNNNNNNNNNNNNNNNNNNNNNNNNNNNNNNNNNNNNNNNNNNNNNNNNNNNNNNNNNNNNNNNNNNNNNNNNNNNNNNNNNNNNNNNNNNNNNNNNNNNNNNNNNNNNNNNNNNNNNNNNNNNNNNNNNNNNNNNNNNNNNNNNNNNNNNNNNNNNNNNNNNNNNNNNNNNNNNNNNNNNNNNNNNNNNNNNNNNNNNNNNNNNNNNNNNNNNNNNNNNNNNNNNNNNNNNNNNNNNNNNNNNNNNNNNNNNNNNNNNNNNNNNNNNNNNNNNNNNNNNNNNNNNNNNNNNNNNNNNNNNNNNNNNNNNNNNNNNNNNNNNNNNNNNNNNNNNNNNNNNNNNNNNNNNNNNNNNNNNNNNNNNNNNNNNNNNNNNNNNNNNNNNNNNNNNNNNNNNNNNNNNNNNNNNNNNNNNNNNNNNNNNNNNNNNNNNNNNNNNNNNNNNNNNNNNNNNNNNNNNNNNNNNNNNNNNNNNNNNNNNNNNNNNNNNNNNNNNNNNNNNNNNNNNNNNNNNNNNNNNNNNNNNNNNNNNNNNNNNNNNNNNNNNNNNNNNNNNNNNNNNNNNNNNNNNNNNNNNNNNNNNNNNNNNNNNNNNNNNNNNNNNNNNNNNNNNNNNNNNNNNNNNNNNNNNNNNNNNNNNNNNNNNNNNNNNNNNNNNNNNNNNNNNNNNNNNNNNNNNNNNNNNNNNNNNNNNNNNNNNNNNNNNNNNNNNNNNNNNNNNNNNNNNNNNNNNNNNNNNNNNNNNNNNNNNNNNNNNNNNNNNNNNNNNNNNNNNNNNNNNNNNNNNNNNNNNNNNNNNNNNNUUAACUGUGACUGCUAUAACUUCUAUUGAAGUGAUAUAGUUUGUACAGAAUGGAAAUUUCGGGUUGUCACAUCAUCCCCCCGUUAGAAGGAAUUUCGUCCCGAAAUUAGAAUUUAAGCAAAUAAGAAGUUACAAAUAACUAAGCGAAAAGGUGAGGGUAUUUCAGUUUCAUCUGAUCCUCACGUUCCCAAGUGAAUUCCGGUCCACGCUUUGCGUUCCAGCGCACCUUCACUAUCGGGAUACGGCUCUGCUUUGUUUGCUUGACCUCUCGGUCCAUGAUCUCUACUGGUUCCUCCACGAAGUUGAGGCUCUCGUUGAUCUCGAUCUCGUCGAGUGGAAUAACAAGAGUCUCGUCGGAUAGACACUUUUUCAAGUUUGACACGUGGAAGGUAGGAUGUACGUUACUGAGUUCUUGCGGUAGAUUGAGUUUUUAAGCUACAGGGCCGAUUCUCGCGAGAAUCUCGAAAGGCCCUAUGUAUCUUUAAUUGAGCUUCCCACGCUUUCCAAAGCGUAUCAAGCCCUUCCAGGGUGAGACCUUCAGUAGGACUCGGUCGCCCACCUGGAAUUCCAACGGUUUCCUUCGCUUGUCAACGCAGCUUUUCUAUCGGUCUCUGGAGGCUUUCAAUCGUUCACGAAUUUGAACGAUCUUCUCUGUCGUUUCCCGAAUGAUCUCCGGACCCGUGAGAGUGCUUUCGGGAACUCGUCCCAUAGCUAACUGGGUAUCACCCACCUCAGCCCAGCACAGAGGGGAUCUGCACUUUCGGCCAUAGAGGGCCUCGAAUGGAGCUGCCUUUAUGCUAGUGUGAUAACUGUUGUUGUAGGAAAAUUCAACAAGGGGUAAAUGAAUAUCCCAAGCUUUUCCAAAGUCAAUCACACAGGCACGCAACAUAUCUUCUAAGGUUUGGAUAGUUCUCUCACUUUGCCCGUCGGUCUGUGGAUGGUAGGCUGUACUCAUGUCCAGCCUAGUUCCUAGGGAAUUUCGUAAUGACUGCCAGAACCUUGAUGUGAAUCUACUAUCUCUGUCUGAGAUAAUAGAAAAAGGAACACCAAGGAACUUUACAAUUUCCCUAAUGUAAGUUCUUGUAAGUUUCUCCAUCUUGUCUGUUUCUUUGAUCGGCAGGAAGUGUGCAGACUUGGUCAGUCUAUCGACGAUGACCCAUAUGGAAUCAAGUCCACCCGUCGUCUUGAGCAACUUGGUUAUGAAGUCCAUAGUGAUCCGCUCCCACUUCCAUUCUGGUAUCAUCGGCUGCUGUAGGCGACCAGAGGGUUUCUGGUGUUCGACCUUCACCUUCGCGCAAGUAAGGCACUUACUUACGAAGUUAGCAAUAUCUGCUUUCAUGAUAGGCCACCAGUAUAACAUUUUAAGAUCCAGAUACAUCUUAUCUGAACCCGGGUGGACGGAAUAACGAGUGUUCUGAGCUUCCGUCAUGACCAAGUCUCUGAAGCCACCGUGUCUCGGUGUCCAGAUCCGAUCCAUGAGGUAUAAGGCUCCACCACCCUUGACUUCUAAGUUCUUAUCCAUCCCUCUAAGGGAUUCACCAGACACGUUUUUAGGUUUCAAAGCGUCGAGCUGAGCCUCCUUAAGUUGCAUGGACAAGUGUGAAUGGAUAGUUAGAGUCAGAGAUUUGACUCUAUGACCAGUAUAUUCUUUCUGACUCAGGGCGUCUGCUACUACAUUAGCUUUACCCGGAUGAUAACGAAUUUCGCACUCGUAAUCACUUAGUAGCUCUACCCACCGUUGUUGUCUCAUGUUGAGCUCUUUCUAGUCGAAGAUUUGUUGUAGACUCUUGUGGUCUGUAAAGAUUGUGCUUUUUGUACCAUACAGGUAGUGUCUCCAGAUCUUCAGAUCAAAUACGACUGCUCCUAGUUCAAGAUCAUGGUUGAUGUAGUUAACCUCAUGUGUCUUCCGCUGUCUCAAGGUAUAGGCUAUGACUUUACCUCGCUGCAUCAGAACACAUCCGAGUCCUCGAUUUGAUGCAUCGCAAUAGACCACGAAGGCUUCUAUCCCUUCGGGGAGGGAUAGUAUCGGUGCGGUGCACAAGGCUCGUUUGAGCGUUUGGAAUGCUCUUUCUUGUUUCUCUUCCCAGUCAAAGGCUACGCUUUUCUGGGUCAGGGUUGUAAGAGGUUUUGCUAUGCGGGAGAAAUUCUGAAUGAACCUGCGAUAGUAGUCAGCCAGACCUAGAAAUUGGCAAAUUUUUGUAGGUGUCUUCGGUGCUGACCAGUUCUCGAUGGCCUUAAUUUUGGAAGGGUCCACAUGUAUUCCCUCUUCACUAACAACAUGGCCCAAAAAUUCGACUCGCCGAAUCCAAAAUUCGCACUUGGAGAACUUCGCGUAGAGCUUCUCCGACCGCAAUGUUUCUAAGACUCUACGGAGAUGCUGACUAUGCUCCUCCUUACUUCGAGAGUAGAUGAGUAUGUCAUCGAUGAAGACGAUGACGAACUGAUCCAAGUAAGGACGACACACCCUAUUCAUCAGAUCCAUGAACACGGCAGGCGCGUCAGUUAAUCCGAACGGCAUCACUACAAACUCAUAGUGCCCAUAACGAGUUCGAAAGGCUGUCUUGGGAACAUCCUUCUCUAACACUCGUAGUUGGUGAUAUACGGAUCGUAGAUCUAUCAACGAGAAGUAGUUGGCUCCUUGAAGUUGAUCUAAUAAAUCAUCAAUGAUGGGCAAAGGAUAACGAUUUUUAAUUGUAAGUUUGUUGAGUUCUCUAUAGUCGAUGCACAUGCAAAACGAUCCAUCCUUCUUCUUGACGAACAAGAUCGGUGCCCCCCAUGGUGAGAAGCUUGGUCUAAUGAAUCCCUUCUUGAGAAGUUCGUUAAGUUGACUGGAAAGUUCAUGCAUCUCGGCCGGUGCUAGACGAUAAGGAGAUUUGGCUACGGGGAUAGCUCCUGGCACUAAGUCGAUUCUGAACUCGACUUGGUGUUGCGGUGGUAAACCGGGAAGUUCUUCUGGGAAGAUAUCGGGAAAGUCGCGUACUUCUGGGAUGUUCUGAAUGUUUUUCGUUUCUUGACUUGUAUCAAUGACGUGUGCGAUGAAUGCAUGGUACUCCUUUCGCAAGCACUUCUGGGCUUGAAUGCACGAAAUGAUGUGAAGGCUCGUACUAGGUUUGUCGCCAUAGAUAAUUAAGGUUUCGUUGUUAGGAAGGUUAAGACGAACUGCUUUUUCAAAGCACAAGAUGUCGGCGCGAAGAGGACUCAACCAAUCCAUACCGCUGAUAACGUCAAAACAUUUAAUUGGGACCGGCUUGAGAUCUAUCUUGAAAGUAUGGCUAUCUAAAGUUAAGGUACAACCUAUGUAUAUGCAGUUAGUACUCUCCGUUUUCCCGUUAGCCAUUUCUACCGUGAAUGAAUUAUCUAAUGCACAUGGUUUUUGUUUAAGCAAGUAUGCAAAUUUGUGACUUACGAAACUUCUCUCUGCUCCACUGUCGAAAAGUAUGGAAGCAUAUGAGUUAUCUAGGAGGAACAUAGUAGUACCUAUCGUAGAAUCAGCUACUGCUUCCUCGUGGCCUAGGGCCAUAACUCUUCCUACCCCGCCAGCCAUCCCCGCUUUAGGGCAGUUCCUCUUGUAGUGGCCCACUUCGCCACAACCAUAGCAAGCUUGGCGCAUACUGCCGUUAGGAACCUAGGUGGCCUGAGCUGUUGGCAUUCCGCAGACACGGGCGGUAUGCCCCAUUCUCUUGCAGUUAGAACACUGCAUCUCUUUGUAAGGUCCGUGGUGGUGGAAGUUGCACUUGGUGCACUUCGGAAGGGUUCCAGCAUAUGUUUUUGCUCGUAAGGGGUUCGCAGGGACAACAGGAGUUACUGUGGCAGCAUUGAUUGCCACAAGUUGUUGUCUCUUGGAGGAUUCUUGCGAAGCGCCUCUUUUCCUCUUAGACCACACUUUCUUGUUGUUGUUGGCCUUGGGUGGUACAGGUGCAGGGAUUGUUGGGUUCUGAGGUUUCCUGUGAUCUAUGAGAGAUUGUGCCAGUUCCUUGGCACUAUCAAAAGUGAUAGGCCUAGAGGCUAACACACUUGACUGGACCUGAGGCGACAAUCCCCAGAUAUACCUCUCUAUCUUCUUGCUCUCGAGAGCAACCAUAUCGGGGCAUAGGUUUGCCAGAUCACAUAACCUAUUUGUGUAGAUUGUGAUGUCGGAUCCAACCAUUUGUAGACCCCAGAAUUCCUGCUCGAGUUUUUGUACUACACCUUGAGGACAGUACUCUUUCAUCAGCAUGUCCUAUAAUUUUUCCCAGCUGAUGGAAUACGCCACCACCAAAGUCAGAUACUUAACAUGGCUGUUCCACCAUGUUAGUGCUCUAUCAGAGAAGGUACAAGCUGCAAACUUGACCUUGUUGCCCUCCUAGCAAGUGCAGAUUUCAAAGACGGAUUCCAUCUUUUAAAUCCAUUGUCUCAACACCUUACCACCCCCAGUUCCAUUGAAGCUGCGGGGUUUGGCGUUCGUGAAGUCCUUGUAGGUGCAUUCCCGAGGGUGUCCAUGGCUUUCGCUGUGGUUCGAGGGAGGUACACCUGUUCCCGAUCCACUAGGGACAGGGGUGUUGAUUGCUGACACAGCAACUGCAACUGCAGCUGUGAAAGCUGCCUGGAACAUGUUGGCAUCGAAAGGGUUAGGUGGUUGAAGAGGUUGUGGUGGUGGUGGAGGUGCUGGUAUCGGUGCUUCGUUGUUUGGGUUACGCCUGGUAUUUCUGUGUGGCGGCAUCUUUAACUAUACGUUUAAAAGAUGAUGACAUAGAUAAGGAUAAAUGAUUAACGAAUGUGUCUCAUGGACUAACUCCCCAUAGUCCAACAACAGAAUGAAUAGAAUGACUAAAUGAAGAUGACAACAUUUGGAUAAUGAUUUCCAUAAGAUUAGAUAUCUGUCAAUAAUACUGGAAUUACAGAUGUAACAAGUUCGGGAAAAAUGGCCUAGAAGUAGGCCUUACAUCGACCAAGAUAGGAAAAUUUUGACAGAACUAUGACUAGAUCAAGACCUAACAGGUCUAAGAUUUAUAAAGAUAGGAAAUUAGACCAAAGUUUUUACAUAAACUAGGUUAUAUCCAAACGAUGAGUCGACAAGAUUCUAUCGGUGACGAGAACUGCUAGCAUGAGUUCUUGAUCCCGAUAGUAGACGUUCCAUGUCCCUCAUACACCUGUCGGCUCUCACUUGCUGAGCUCGAAGUUCCCUAACUUCAGCUUGAGUUUUAGCAAGUUCCCUCUGCAGAUUUGCAUUGCGGACCAGAGUCUUUUCAUGAGCAGACUCUAGUUGGAGAAUGUGGACAGUGUUAACGCCAGAGUUGGCUUCAAUCUCUACGACCCAGUUAAUAGUUGCUUGACCCAGUAUCGUGUUUCGGGAAAUUCUACGCACCAUUAUUGGUAGGACUCUAUCAGCAGAACCUCCUUCAGUGAGGUUGUAGAAACUUCGGUCUCCAUUGUAGGGAAUGGGCUGACCUUGAUCCUGACUCCAUGUAUUCAAGUUCGUGGCCCACAGAGGUGUGGGUCCUUGAAACACAGGACUGGGGUUCAGGUUUGGGUUUUGAGCAUCUGGAAGUAGGUUGUUCACUUCAGGCUCCGAGUCAGAACCAUCGGAAAAACCCUCAGCAUGGUGAUCAUCCAAAGGGAUUUGGUGAUCAUCUUCUGGUUCUGCCUCUAGCCAACCAGCAUUGCCAUGGUUUGGGAAGUAUGGAUCGCCAUGGUGAAAUCCAACCAUUUUAAUCUACACGAGAAAAGGGAUAUAAGAAAUGGCUAAAUAGACGAACUGACUAAGAUAAUUACAGUAAGACCAAAUACCCCUAUGGUAUUUCAUUAUGGUUGUGUUGGUAAGUUUUUAGACCUGUUGCCAUAUCACAACCAUUCUUGGGCAUAUGCUAAUCACUCCUCGGACCAGCAUAGUUGAUCAGGCUAUGCCAUUCCGAAGACUGACUAUAUAUCCCCAGGCUUACUUGUGAUAUUCAACAAUCGUAAUACUUUUGUUCAUGUCAUUGCAACACUGGUUUUUGUAUGAAUGCCGGCACGUAUACUUUGUUAAAUAUUUUAUUAUUUAAAAGUAUAACUCUUAGACAGAGUGUUUUAAUCCCUAUGUAUUUAUAGUUAGUAUAUAUUUUAUGGGUUGAUAUACUUUAUUCACUAUAAACAAUGCUCUGAUACCAAUCUGUCACACCCCAAAACCACGAAUGGCGGAAACGUUCUGGGGUGGAGGACGUCAUGUACAGUAUCACAACAGUGUAAAAUAGUAAACAAGCAACAACAUCAUCCAUUGCAUUAUAAGUAAAGUUUUAAUACAUGUGUUCUUUCAUUGUAAUCAGACACCAAAAAUAUAUAAUCAAAAUAUAAGAUGAGACUUGUCUGCUCCGUCUUCUCAAAACCUGGCCACCGUACCUGUCUACUGAUGACCUGAGAAUACAAGUUAUUUUGAAAGAGAGUAUCAGCUUUAAAGCUGGUGAAUUCAUAAGUAUUUAAGUGUCAUUGUCUUGCUUUGAAAAGCUGUUUUAAAAGUCAUGUACAGACACCAAAAAUAUAUAAUCAAAAUAUAAGAUGAGACUUGUCUGCUCCGUCUUCUCAAAACCUGGCCACCGUACCUGUCUACUGAUGACCUGAGAAUACAAGUUAUUUUGAAAGAGAGUAUCAGCUUUAAAGCUGGUGAAUUCAUAAGUAUUUAAGUGUCAUUGUCUUGCUUUGAAAAGCUGUUUUAAAAGUCAUGUAAACCUUUAAAUGAAAAUGUUGAUAUAAGUAUGAAAAACCCUAAGAAAUCCAUUAUAUCCUACUAGUAUGAAAUUUAGUCUUCUACCAAGACCCGAAUGUUUUGUUAUGACAAUGUAAUCUUCUACCAAGACCCGAAUGUUUUCUUAGUAAAAAUGGUAGCUUUUCCUUUCUAUGGACUAGUACUAAAAGUACUUAGUCUAACUCCUCGUUUAUGUGAAUGUAUCACAAAAUACAGUAAAUAGGAAAAUGUAAUAAUGUAAGUGUUAUCCCUGGAUUACCAGGAUUAACACAACAUCGCCAAAGCGAAAGAGUAUAACCUAUAGAAUAUCCGAAGAUUGUCCAAUUAACCUCUGUAGCGAACAGAAGGUUCCAGGAAUAGUUAGUCCCGUAACUGGCUCUACAUCGCUGUAAGAGAAAUAGAUAACCUAAUGAACAUCCGAAGAUUGUCCAAUUAACCUCUAUAGCGAACAGUAGGUUCCAGGAAUGGUUAGUCCCGUAACUGUCUCCUAAUAUAAGUAAUAACCUUAGGCAUCCGUAAAUGUCCAUUAACCUCUGUAGCGAACAAAGGUUCCAGGAAUGGUUAGUCUCGUAACUGACUCUACAUUGUUGUAAGCGAAGUAAAUAACCUAACGAACAUCGGAAGAUUGUCCAAUUAACCUCUGUAGCGAACAGUAGGUUCCAGGAAUGGUUAAUCCCAUAACUGACUCCCGUUGAACUGGGAUGGGCUGGAUGAUUUACUGAAGGUAGUAAUAAAUAAUCUUUACGAAUCGAGUUUCAAGUAUUCAUGUAAGUAUACACAGUUAGACGUAUCUACAUAAAGGUAUUCAUGUAAGGUGUUCAUGUAAGUGUAUUCAUGUAUCAUCUAAGCAUAUGUAAAGGUACUCAUGUAUCAGGUAAUGUAUUCGUAAAGUCUCAUGAAUGAACUGACUCUUGUGUGAUUCCUUGUAAUAGGAAUAAUGUUUGAUAUCUUCUAACUAUCCCUACGAUAGUUAACUGAAAGGUAAUUGGUUGUUCAAGUAGGUUUGUACACCCUUACUACACAAGAGUGUGAGAAGCUAAAUGAAAGACGAAAACUAUAACAUCAAUACAUAUAUAAGAAUAUAAGUGGAUAUGCCUAGUUUAGUUCAAGAAUGUAAAAUGGUUUUGUAAGACAUCUAAGGGUUUUGAACAAAUAUAAAAGUGACUUGAUGUCAUUUUGAUAAACAUUUCGAAAGUAAUACAUUUGAUAACAAAGUAUUUUAAAGAUAGAAAACCAUUUCAUGCAUCACAUUUUGUAGUAUAUGAAAUCUGUUGAAUGAAAACAUAGUUAUAAAAUACAUAUAAAUGAUUUAAUAACAUGUUGUUUUCUACUUGUAUUCCCCCCACCCCCACCCCCCCCCAUUAAAGCAUUUAAAAUCAUUUAAAACAUUGAUUAGGAGUAUGAACUCACAUGUAGAUGGUGGUUUGGAUGAACUGGACGGUGUAGGAUUGUUAGGUGUCAAAUGAGGACUUGUACACACACUACGAUCCUAAUGAACAUAUAAUCACACAUAUAUGCACCCAAUUAGUCUUAAAUUACUAAUUGAUAAUGUUAAGACAUCCUAGAACAUAAUAAACACUUUAUAUAAGUGUUAUAAGCCCUAAGGAUUGCAUCUAAGCUAUUGUGGGACAAGGCACUUAGGGUUAGGGUUCCAAAGGACUCUAUACAUGAGUUUACUCUCCAUAUAGCAUCACACAUGGUGUUUAUGGUUGUAAACUCUUGAUUUUACGGCCGUGAACUCCCAAUCUUGGUGAUAUUUUGUGUUUUGAAGUUCUAAAUGAUCCCUAGAAUUAUUCCAACUUGGUGGUUUAAUUCUUGGAAGGGUUUAAGGCAUAAAAACACCCCUUUGAGGAGUUUACGGCCUUAAGGCCAUUUCCUUUAGAGUUUGCAGCCGUAAACUCUUAAUAAUGGGUGUUUUUGAUGCUUUCAAGUCUCAUACGCAUGUAGUAUAGGUCUUAAACUUUUAUCCCAAGCAUAUGAAGGCCUUAGGCACACUUUGGUGCCUUUGUUUGAUGUUCACGGCCCAAGAACCUUAUUAGGGCCGUGAACUCACUUUGAGGGGUGUUUUUGAUGUGUUUUGGUCCUUGAUUUAUGUGGAAACAAUUCCUAGCAAAUAUCUAAGGCUUUAGGUGCCUUAAAAGCACCCUUUUGUCCAUUAUUUUCGAGUUCACUGUCCAAGAUCAUCUUGGGCCGUGAACACCCAUAUUUUGGUGUUUCUUGGUUGUUUUCUUGUCCCUAACACACAUAUAUAUGAGUCCAAGGUAGUAUCAUAUCAUAAUGGAAGGUCUAGGCAUUGUUUCGGGAGUUUACCGCCCAAGAACACCUUGGGGAGUAAACUCCUAAAUCUAGUGAUUUAACCAUCUAAAUCAUGUUAUAAACACAUAAUAAGCUUUCUAACACUACUAGAGAGAGUUACUCACGUUUUGGUAUAAAAACCCGAAGAUCCGUGAGAGAGAAAAUGGCUUUUCUCUAGUUGGAAAUGCGAAUAAUGAAUGAAAUUGGUUCAGAAUUCUAUUUAUAGUCCUGAGAUAUUUUUGGCAGAGAAUUUUUAUUCCCGAAAUGAUCUCUAAUAUAAUAGAGUGAUGGAAUAAUAGAGUUGCACUAAACCCUACUGCAUCCACUCUCCUGAUAUUUCCUGAAGUGUAAACCCUAAAUUACUCAAACUUAUACGAAAAAGUCUGAAUAUUAACUGUGACUGCUAUAACUUCUAUUGAAGUGAUAUAGUUUGUACAGAAUGGAAAUUUCGGGUUGUCACAAGAUCGGCGUUGGUCAGCAUAACUUUUUUGGCAACUCUGAGCAGUCUGUAGUCACUAUCUAAUAUGCUGUAUCAUCUCGGUAGUUUGCAGAGCUACCUCUGUCCGACCCAUCACCCCGUGCCCAACCUCGCCCCAGCAGACUGGGGUCCUACACUUCCCCUCAUACAACAGCUCGAAAGGCGGGAAGCCAAUACUGGAAUGAUAGUUGUUGUUGUAGGCAAACUCUGCAAGUGGUAAGUGGGAAUCCCAACUCCCACCGAAAUCAAUGACACACGCCCUCAACAUAUCCUCGAGGCUCUGAAUGGUCUGCUCACUCUGCCCAUCAGUCUGCGGAUGGAACGCCAUGCUAAAAUGCAGUCGUGUAACCAGUUCCUCAUGGAACAUCUGCCAAAAAUGGGAAGUAAACCUGACAUCUCGAUCGGAAAUGAUAGAAACUGGAACCCCAUGGCGAGAGACAAUCUCCGUAACGUAUAGGUCAGCUAACUUCUCUGACGGUGAACUCUCCCGUAUGGCUAGGAAAUGGGCACUCUUGGUCAAUCGAUCCACGAUGGCCCAUAUAGCAUCGAACCCCCUUGCCGUCUUUGGAAACUUCGUGAUGAAAUCCAUCGCGAUACGUUCCCAUUUCCACAUGGGGAUCUCCAGAGGCUACAGCUUACCAUGCAGCGUCUGAUGCUCGGCCUUGACCAUCCUGCAGGUCAAGCACCUCUCAACAAACCAAGCGAUAUCUCGGUUCAUGCGGGGCCACCAAUAACUCGAACUCAAAUCACGGUACAUCUUGGUGGCUCCCGGGUCAAUCGAUAAACGAGACUUAUGAGCCUCCUCCAUCACUGUCUGCCUGACCCCUCCGGACAUAGGAACCCAAACCCGACCGUAAUGGGUCAACAAUCCGCGGCUAUCCUGAUCAAACCGGGUGCUUUCGCCCUUAAUCCUCUCCAUCUUCCAGUUAUCUGGUCUCACACCCUCAAUCUGAGGAUCCCUGACAAAACCCACUAGCCGGGAAUCCACCGUUAUCCUUAUACACCUGGCUGGGGUCAAGGACCCAGCUAACUUGCGGCUCAUAGCAUCCACAACCACGUUCGCUUUACCAGGAUGGUAAAGGAUCUCACAAUUAUAGUCCUUGACCACAUCCAGCCACCUGCGCUGCCUCAUGAUCAGGUUCGGCUAAUCCAUGAUGUGUCUCAAACUCUUGUGAUUCAUGUAUAUAGUGCAACAGACCCCAUACAGAUAGUGCCUCCAAAUCUUGAGAGCGAAAACCACCGCUCCCAAUUCAAGAUCGUGCGUAGGGUAUCUUGUCUCAUGCGGCUUUAGCUGCCACGAUGCGUGGCCUACCAACCGUCCUUUCUGCAUGAGGACAGCCCCCAAGCCUGUGAUGGAUGCAUCACAAAAUACCACAAAAUCCUCCACUCCCUCGGGGAGUGUCAACACCGACGCCUCGUAUAAACACUGUCAGAGGGUCUCAAAUGCCCUCUACUGCUCAGGGCCCCACUGGAAAUCCACCCGCUUCCUUGUUAGGUGAGUGAGGGGUACGACAAUCUUGGAGAAAUCAUAAAUGAAUCUCUAAUAAUACCAUGCUAAACCCAAGAAACUCCUGAUGUCUGAGGCUAAUCUCGGAGUCUCCCACUGCAUAACCGCCUCCAACAUGGCCGGAUCGACCAAAAUCCCCUCCUGGUUAACGAGAUGUCCGAGGAUAUGGACCUCUCAUAACCAAAAAUCGCAUUUCGAGAAUGUAGCAUACAGCCGUUCUCACCUCAGAACCUCCAGCAGCUCCCUGAGAUGCUCCUCAUGUUGCUCUCAGGUCUUGGAAAACACCAAGAUAUCAUCUAUGAAUGCAAUGACAGAGCGGUCGAGCAUCGGUCUGCAGACUCGGUUCAUCAAAUCCAUGAACACUAUUGGCACAUUGGUGAGCCCAAAUGGAAUCACCACGAACUCGUAAUGACCAUAACGAGUCCGAAACGUGGACUUCUCCACGUCUUCCACCCUCACCCUGACCUCAAAUCAAUCUUGGAAAACCAAGACGCUCCCUGCAGCUGAUCAAAAAGAUCGUCUAUCCGCGGGAGCGGAUAAUGGUUCUUCACCGUUAACUUUUUCAGCUCCAUUUAGUCAAUGCACAUCCUGUGCGAACCGUCCUUCUUCUAGAUGAAAAGGAUCGGUGCUCCCCAGGGUGAGCUACUCGGACGAAUAAACUGCUUACCCAGCAGUUCCUACAACUAAGAUGAUAGCUCCUACAUCUUCGGCGGUGCCAAACGAUAUGCCGCCUUAGUAAUAGGGGCUGCACCUGGCACUAGAUAAAUCCUGAACUCAACCUGCCUCACCGGAGGCACUCCGAGUAACUCCUCCGGAAACUCAUCAGCAACUCUCAAACCACCGAACCUCUGAAACUGAGAGCUGCUCUCUAACCCGCAUAUUUACCACAUAUGCCAAAUAACCGGGACACCUGUGCUAAAUAUACUGUCGAGUCCUGGCUCCCCAACAAAACCCUGAUCCCGACCUGGUGCCCUCAACAUAUACUACCAGUUCUCCCCCACUUGGGGUUCGAACCACCACCCGCUGUCCCUCACAGUCGAUCAUGGCGCCAAAGUGUCUAAGCCAAUCUAUCCCUACAAUCACGCAUACAUCCUGCAUGGGGAUAGGAAUCAAAUCUAUUAGGAAGGACACCCCAAAAAUCUCCAACUCGCAUCCCCGGUAGACCGAAGAAGCAGAAACUCUAUGCUCUUUGGCGAUCGAAACUUGCAACAGACACUCAACAUCACCUAUCGGCACAUUGGUCCCUCUAGAGAAGGUCUGAGAUACAAAGGACCGACUCGCCCCCGAGUCAAAUAAUACUAAAGCGGGCAUAGAAUUCACUAAAAACGUACCUAACCACAGGCAUAAUCCAUAAGCAUAACACAAAUACAAUAAUUGAGACAAGGAACAGUAACGUACCAGCAACUACAUCCGGUGCUGCCUUGGCCUCCUCGGCCAUGAGCUGGAAGGCGUGACCCUGAGUGUAAAAAACAAAAUUUUCACAUACUUUUUCACAUUUUAAAAACACACUUUCAUUCAUAAUUGUUAUAAAAUAUCAUCGUAUCACAUAAUAAUCCAUAACAUCACAUACCAAGAUCAAAAUAUAUAAAAACUCCUCGUGUGUGUACUGAUCAACUCGGUGCCUUCCUGCGAUCCUUACUGGUACCUGAAACACAUAACAUAACACUAUAAGCAUAAAGGCUUAGUGACUUCUCCAAAAUACCACACACAACACAUAUUAGCCACUCGAGGCUAGAAAUCUGUUUGACCCUCUUGUCAAUGUGUCUCAAUGGGACCCUCGAGUCCUAUAACUCUGUGGGCCCUCUAGCACUAACUUUGUGGACCUUCCUGCCCUAAAUCUAUAACAUACAUAGCAUAAAUCACAUAGAAAUCACAUCAUGCAAAAGCAUACAAAAUACCCUGUCACAUAACUCUAAUUACCACUCUAGGUAAAGUAUAGUGAGAAGACUCACCUCGGGUAACUCGGUAAUCUAGAACUCUGUAAAUAGUCUGGUCUAGCCUCCACUUAAUCAUACGAAAUAAACACUCUUAAUCAAUACAUAUCUCAAGGGUAGACUAUCCCCUCUCUUAGCACUCCCAAAAGGGUAAAAGACCAUUUUACCCUUCCCGUGGCUUAGAGACUCUAAAGUUGACCAAACCCUAAAAGUCAACAAAAGUCAACUCUCCGGGCUACACUGCGCAUACUAAACAUGUACCCUGGGCGUACCCGGCGUCCUCACCAAAACGGGGUGCGCGACCCCUUACGUCGCGCGUACUAGGAUUACGCCCAGCGUAACUCCCAGUUUCAGACUCUCAGCUCGUGAGGUCUUAAAUAGUUAAGACCCACGUCCAACUUCUAGAUCUGACCAUUUCUAAGCCUCUUAAUCCAUAAAGUUGGUGAUUUUAAUCCUUUGCAUGGCUGGACAAGUCAUUAACACCCAUAACAUUCCAUUUCCCAACUCUAGAAAGCUCAUAACUCAAGCAUGACCUCAUAACAAUGAGCAAGAUGGAAACUUUAUGGAUCUAUAACACAAAUAUCACUGAAAUGGGACAGAUCUAGGUCCAUGGAGUACAUUACACUCAUAAAGUCUCCUCUUUGGGACUUUUAACCCUAGAAAUGGUCCAUGCACUCAUCAAAUCAAAUAAAGAGGAAAGUUUUGAAAUUUAUAGUUUCAAAUGAAGCUCCUUUCUCUGUAGAUCUCAGAUCGAAACUUGCACUUCAAUCCCUAACCUCCACAAUCUCUUCUCCUUCUUCUUCACUAACACACCAAGACACUUUUAGCUCCAAACACACACACACUCAAGCUAAGGAUGAUGGAAAGCUGAUUAUUAGGGUUUCACUCUCUGAUAUGGAGGCUGAGAAAUGAGCCUUGGCAUCCUUUAAAUAGUGCAGAAGCCACAAAUUUAAGGUUUGCAUCUGGACCCUUUACACCCAGCGUACCCAGGCGAGUUCGCGUCCAAUUUAAGCGCAUGAGUACGCGCAGCGUACACUCCGGUACGCCCAGCAUACUCAUGUACUACAAGAACUCACUCAAGGGACUAAUCUUGACCAUUUGACAAAAGGGAAGGGCUAAAUAGCCUUACCUAAAUUUUGGGAUGUGAAAUUCUCCCCCACUAGAACCAGACUUCACCCUCGAAGUCUCAUGCUGUAAACAACUCUGGAUGAUGCUCCCGCAUCUCUGACUCCGUUUCCCAAGUCAGCUCGGACCCCUUCCGAUGCUGCCACUGGACCUGAACCAAUGACACCUCUUGUUCCUCAUAACCUUGACCUUCUGGUCUAAGAUCACGAUCGGUCUCUCGACAUAAUUCAAUCUCGUGUCCACCUGGAUACCCUCCAACGGUACCACUGCCGACUCGUCGGCUAUACACUUCCUCAACUAAGACGCGAGGAAGGUAUCAUGGAUCUGGCUCAACUCCGCAGGUAGCUCCAAACGAUAUGCUACCCUGCCCACCCUCACGAUCACCCUAAACGGUCCAAUGUAACAGGGCCCCAACUUGUCUCUUUUCCUGAAUCGGAUCACUCCUUUCCAUGGAGACACUUUCAGGAGUACAAAAUCUCCAACCUGAAACUCGAGCUCGGAUCGAUGCUUAUCCGCGUAACUCUUCUGGCGACUCUGGGCCAUCAGCAACCUUUCUCUAACUUGUUGUAUCUGCUCUGUCGUCUGAAGUACUAUCUCAGUGCUACCCAUCACUCGCUGCCCUACCUCUCCCCAACAUACGGGAGUCUAAUACCUCCUCCUAUACAACAACUCAAAGGGAGGCAUACCAAUGCUCGAAUGGUAGUUGUUGUUAUAGGAAAACUCAGCCAAAGGCAGAUACGUGUCCCAACUCCUUCCGAAGUCGAACACACAUGCCCAAAGCAUGUCCUCGAGGGUCCAAAUCGUCCGCUCACUCUAUCCAUCCGUCUGUGGGUGAUAAGCAGUACUGAAAUGCAACCUAGUUCCCAAUUCCUCAUGGAACUUCUUCUAGAACCUAGAAGUGAAACUCACAUCUUGAUCUGACAUAAUCGAGAUCGGUACACCAUGUCGUGAUACUACCUCCCUCACAUACACCUCUGCCAGCUUCUCUAUGGAAGAGCUCUCACUGAUAGCAAGAAACUGAGCGCUCUUUGUCAGCCAGUCAACGAUCACCCAAAUUGCAUCGACUCCUCUCGCAGUCCUUGGUAAUUUGGUGAUAAAAUCCUUUGAAAUCUGUUCCCACUUCCACUCGGGAACCUCAAGCGGCUGCAACUUGCCAUGCGGACUCUGGUGCUCGGCCUUAACCCUGCGACAAGUAAAGCACCUCUCUACGAACAAUGCAACAUCCCUCUUCAUACAUGGCCACCUAUAGUCUCUUUUCAAGUCCAAAUAUAUCCUAGUGGCCACGGGAUGGACCGAAAACCUCGACCUAUGCACCUCCACCAUCAAAAUGGCAUGUGCCUCGCCCUUAUAUGGCACCUAAAUCUGGCCCUGGAAAGUCAUAAGUCCACGGCUAUCGAAAACGAACUCAUAUAUCUGACCGAUCACCCGCUCCCUUUUGCGCUUCUCCAAUCUCAUGGCCACUAUCUCGGCCUCCCGAAUGGUGUUCAAAACCGGAUUCAUCACUAUCAUCCUCAAACAAACAUCUCGCAAUGUUGCACAGUCUGCCCUACGACUCAAGGCAUCGGCUACCAUGUUAGCCUUUCCCGGGUGGUACAGGAUCUCACACUCAUAAUCCUUUACCAUGUCCAAUCAUCUCCUCUGGCGCAUGUCCAGGUUGAGCUGGUCCAUCAGAUACUUCAAGCUCUUGUGGUCCGUGUAUAUGGUACACCGAACCCCAUACAAAUAGUGGCGUCAGAUCUUGAGGGGAACACCACAGCCCCCAACUCCAAAUCGUGAGUAGGAUACUUGGUCUCACGAGGCUUCAACUGCCUCGAUGCGUAUGCUAUCACAUGACCCCUCUGCAUCAACACUGCACCCAAUCCCAAUAUCGACGCGUCACAAUAUACCACAAAAUCCUCCAUUCCCUCCGGAAGGGCUAACACUGGUGCUUUGCACAAUCUCAGGCGAAGUGUCUCGAACGAGGCCUGCUGCUCUGGGCCCCAAUUAAAAGCCACGCCCUUCUGGGUCAUCCUGGUGAGCGGAACAACAAUCCUGGAGAAAUCCUGGAUGAAUCUCCGAUAAUAAUCGGUCAACCCCAGGAAACUCCUGAUCUCCGAAUAGGAUCUCAGCACCUCCCAACUCAUCACCACCUCAAUCUUGGCAGGAUAGACCAAUAUCCAAUUCAGGUUGACGAGGUGUCCAAGAAAUUGGACCUCUCGUAACCAGAAAUCACACUUGGAGUAUUUAGCGUAAAUCCUCUUCGAUCUCAAAACUCCGACGAUCUCCCUCAAAUGCUCCUCAUGCUGCUCUCUGGAUCUCGAAUACACCAAUAUAUCAUCAAUGAACACGAUCACCGAACGAUCCAACAUCGGCCUAUAUACCCUAUUCAUGAGAUCCAUUAACGCCGCCGGUGCAUUGGUGAGACUGAAAGGCAUCACAACAAACUCGUAAUGCCCGGGUGGUACAGGAUCUCACACUCAUAAUCCUUUACCACGUCCAAUCAUCUCCUCUGGCGCAUGUCCAGGUUGGGCUGAUCCAUCAGAUACUUCAAGCUCUUGUGAUCCGUGUAUAUGGUACACUGAACCCCAUACAAAUAGUGGCGCCAGAUCUUGAGGGGAAUACCACAGCCCCCAACUCCAAAUCGUGAGUAGGAUACUUGGUCUCACGAGGCUUCAACUGCCUCGAUGCGUAUGCUAUCACAUGACCCCUCUACAUCAACACUACACCCAAUUCUGAUAUCGACGCGUCACAAUAUACCACAAAAUCCUCCAUUUCCUCCGGAAGGGCUAACACUGGUGCUUCGCACAAUCUUUGGCGAAGUGUCUCGAAUGAGGCCUGCUGCUCCGGGCCCCAACUAAAAGCCACGCCCUUCUGGGUCAUCUUGGUGAGAGGAACAACAAUCCUGGAGAAAUCCUGGAUGAAUCUCCGAUAAUAAUCGGCCAACCCCAGGAAACUCCUGAUCUCCGAAUAGGAUCUCGGCACCUCCCAACUCAUCACCACCUCAAUCUUGGCAGGAUAGACCAAUAUCCCAUUCAGGUUGACGAGGUGUCCAAGAAACUGGACCUCUCGUAACCAGAAAUCACACUUGGAGUAUUUGGCGUAAAGCCUCUUCGAUCUCAAAACUCCGAGGAUCUCCCUUAAAUGCUCCUCAUGCUGCUCUCUGGAUCUCGAAUACACCAAUAUAUCAUCAAUGAACACGAUCACCGAACAAUCCAACAUCGGCCUACACACCCUAUUCAUGAGAUCCAUUAACGCCGCCGGUCCAUUGGUGAGACUGAAAGGCAUCACAACGAACUCGUAAUGCCCGUAACGAGUCCUAAACGCUGUCUUCUGGAUAUCCUUGUCACGCACCCUCAUCUGAUGAUAUCUAGACCUCAAAUCAAUCUUGGAGAACCAAGACGCUCCCUGCAACUGAUCGAACAAAAAGUCGAUCCUCGGUAAGGGGUAACGGUUCUUGACCACCAGCUUGUUCAACUCCCGGUAAUCAAUUUACAUCCGGUGGGAACCAUCCUUUUUUUUUGACAAAAAGGAUCAGCGCUCCCCACAGCGAGCUACUCGGCCGUAUAAACCCCUUUCCCAGCAGCCCCUAAAGCUGCGAGGAUAACUCCUGCAUCUCUAGAGGUGCAAGGCAAUAGGGCGCCUUGGAAAUAGGCGCUGCCUCCGGAACCAAAUCGAUACGGAACUCCACCUGCCUCUCAGGAGGAACACCCGGAAACUCCUCGGGGAAAGCAUUCAGGGACCUCAUCGACCGACCUCGGUCUCUCUGCACCUACCCUCGCAUCCACCACAUAAGCCACAAAUCCUUUACAGCCCGGCUGCAGACUCUGCCUCACUCUCGUGGCUGAACAAAAUGCUGACCCAGAACGGGUACCCUCGCCAUAAACUGUAACAACUCCACCACCAGGGUCUCGUAUGGUCACCAAUUGCCACUCGCAGUCAAUAACCGCUUCAAAACUGCUCAACCAGUCCAUGCCCAUGAUGACACAGACAUCUCCCAUAGCAAUUGGGAGCAAACCAAUCGGAAACUCAAUGCCGAAGAUCUCAAGUACACAUCCUAGAAUCACAUCAGUGGCAUACACUGCUCUCUCGUCAGCAAUGGAAACUCACAAAGGUCGACUCAACGCCUCUCGACGAAUACUGAUGUGCUGACUAAAGGCUAACGACACAAAAGACGGACUCACACCCGACUCAAAUAACACCAAAGCAGGUACAAAACUCACAAGAAUUGUACCUAUGCAUAUCAUAAUAUAAGCAUAAUACCACAAACUCAAAAUAAACAGAUGAAAGAAUACAUACCAGCUACAACAUCGGGUGCUGCGCGGACUCCUCCGCUAUCAACUGGAAGGCUCUCUCGCGAGCCUUCGGUGCCUCGGCCUUCACCGGCCGACUAUCCGCAGUUCGUACAGCAGUAGGGACAGAUCCCUGAGAAGCUCCCUGAGUUGACCCUCAUAACUGCAGACACUCGGCCUUCCGGUGUCCGGUCUGGUUGCAGGGAAAACAAACUGCAAACCCCUUGGGGCAAUCCUUGGCCAUGUGCCCCUCCUUUCCACACUUGUAGCAAGACCCUGCUCUACACACCCCUCAUGACUCUUGCCGCACUUGCCACAAGUGCGGCCCUUCUGGCUCCCUGAUCGCGAAUCGGCGGGCUUGGCCUGCUUGGUAGCCGGCUGGGACUGUGUCGGUCGUCGACCCUUCCCCUGAGACUCUGCCUCCUACCUGGCUUGAGUCUCUAGCUCAAUCUUCCUCUUCCAGGCAUUUGCAUGAAGCUUGGAAAAUGUCCGGUACGUCGAGUUUGCCACGAACUCACGGAUGUCUCUCCUCAAAAUACUCAAAUACCGACUCAUACGUGCCUACUCGGAAGACACGUGCUCAGGGCAAAACAUUGCCCUCUCAUGAAACAUCAUUGUGAUCAUAGUAACGUACUCAGUACCCUACUUGAGGGUCAAGAAAUCCUGGGCCAAACGCUUCCUUUCCACCGGGGAAGGUACUCAUCACGAAACAUAGCGGUGAAACUCUCCUAGGUCACCGCAGCAAGCUCUGCAGAAGAAUAAUGCGCUGUCACAAAUUUCCACUAGUCCUUCGCCCCUAGGAGAAGCUGGUUCAGCAUGAACCUAACUCUCAGAUGCUCCGGACAUGAACAUGUGUAGAAGCACCCCUCGAUGUCAGAGAUCCACCUCAUUGAGGCUAUCGAAUCCUGAGUCCCAUCAAACUCUGGUGGCUUCGUGUUGCUUAACUCCUGGUACAACAACGUGUCACCCCCUUGCGGCCUGGCAGCAGCAACGGCUACAGUGAGUGCAGCAACAGCAGCAUCUGUAAGAGCAACAUACCGCUCAUCAUAACUCUCUAUCAGUGUGGUCUUGAUAGACCCGAUCAUCUUUGGAAUCUCAGUGCAGAUGGCCGCAGCCACCUCAUCAUGAAUCAUCUGGCGGAGCUCCUCAUCGGUCACACCCCCCCUCGCUUGUCCCUGGCCUGUGGCGUGUCCCAACCAUGAUGUCUCUCUGAAAUACAACACAAUAUAUCAGAGACUUGCUCGAGUGUACAAACACUCGAUAUCCCAUUCCUACUUGAUCUCUGGUACCCUAAGGAUUCUUACUUGGCCUGCACACUGAUCCAAUGUCUUCGGUAGUAUGGGCCCGAUACUACCGUCCACACCGCAUCAAUAUUGACCUCAAGUCCUCCUCCUAGGAUCUGAAGUCCCAAGUACUCUAAUCUCUCUAUACAUAGCCUACUCACUAGCAAGUCUCUCAUAAGCUCCUCACUGCUAUCCAUUCACUCUUAAGCAUAUCCUAGUAGGAAAAUCCCUAGGCUAAGGCAUCACAAAUGAGGCCACUCUAGUCCUAAUAAGAAUACCUAGCCUACUCUAGCUCGCAUAUCAUAUCAUAACAUAUCUCACAACUCAUAAUGUAAGGCUAUUCUGGGAAAUCACGAUUCAGGCGCUGGCUGAUCGUACACACUGCUCUGCUCUGCUCUUUCAAAAACCUUUUACUCUUGAGAAAAAUUUUGUGAAUUUUAUUUUGAAAAUCCCUCAAAUCCUCAGUUUGAGUUCAGAUACGCCCGAAGGUGCACCCGAAUCCCUCAAACCAAGGCUCUGAUACCAACUUGUAACACCCAAAAUUUUGAAAUAAUUUUUCACAUUUUAAAAACACACUUCCAUUCAUAAUUCUUAUAAAAUAUCAUUGUGUCACUUAAUAAUCCAUAACAUCACAUCCCAAGAUCAAAAUAUAUAAAAACUCCUCGAGUGUGUAUUGAUCAAGCCGACGCCUUCCUACGAUCCUCACUAGUACCUGAAACACAUAACACAACACUAUAAGCAUAAAAGCUUAAUGAGUUCCCCAAAAUACCACACACAACACAUAUUAGCCAUUCGAGGCUAGAACUCUAUUUGACCCUUUGGUCAAUGUGUCUCAGUGGGACCCUCUAAUCCCAUAACUCUAUGGGCCCUCUGGCCCUAACUCUGUGGACCUUUCGGUCCUAACUCUGUAACAUACAUAACGUAAAUCACAUAGAAAUCACAUCAUGCAAAAGCAUACAAAAUACUCUGUCACAUAACUCUAAUUACCACUCUAGGUAAAGUAUAGUGAGAAGACUCACCUCAGGUAACUCGGUAAUCUCGAACUUUGUAAAAAGUCAGGUCUAGCCUCCACCUAAUCAUACGAAAUAAACACUCUUAAUCAAUACAUCUCUCAAGGCUAGACUAUCCCCUCUCUUAGCACUCUCAGAAGGGUAAAAGACCAUUUUACCCCUCCUAUGGCUCAAAGACUCUAAAGUUGACCAAACCCAAAAAGUCAACAAAAGUUAACUCUCUGGGCUACGCUGCGCGUACCAAACAUAUACACUGGGCGUACCAGGCGUCCUCACCGAAACUGGGUGCGCAACCCCUGCGUACUAGGAUUACGCCCGGCGUAACUCCCAGUUUCAGACUCUAAGCUCUUGAGGUCUUAAACAGUUAAGACCCACGUCUAACUUCUAUAUCUGACCAUUUCUAAGCCUCUUAAUCCAUAAAGUUGGUGACUUUAAGCCUUUGGAUGGCUGGACAAGUCACUAACACCCAUAACAUUCCAUUUCCCAACUCUAGAAAGCUCAUAACUCAAUCAUGACCUCAUAACAAUGACCAAGAUGGAAACUUUAUGGAUCUAUAACACAAAUAUCACUGAAAUGGGACAGAUCUAGGUGCAUGGAGUACAUUACACUCAUAAAGACUCCACAUUUUGGACUUUUAACCCUAGAAAUGGUCCAUGCACUCAUCAAAUCAAAUAAAGAGAAAAGUUUUGAACUUUAUACCUCCAGAUGAAGCUCCUUUCUCUAUAUAUCUCAGAUCCAAACUUGCACUUCAAGCCCUAGCCUCCACAAGCUCUUCUCCUUCUUCUUCACUAACACACCAAGACACUUUUAGCUCCAAACACACCCACUCAAGCUAAGGACGAUGGAAGGCUCUCUCUUAGGGUUUCACUCUUUGAUAUGGAGGCUGAUAAUGAGCCUUAGCAUCCUUUAAAUAGUGCACAAGCCACAAAUUUAGGGUUUGCAUCUGGACUCUUUACACCUAGCGUAACCCUAGGUACACCCAGCGUACCCAGGCGAAUCUGCGUUCAAUUUAAGGGCAUGAGUACGCACAGCGUACACUCCGGUACGCACAGCGUACUCAUGUGCUACAAGAACUCACUCAAGGGACGAAUCUUGACCAUUUGACAAAAGGGAAGGGCUAAAUAGCCUUACCUAAUUUUCGGGAUGUUACAGAACCUGAGCCUUUGGAGGCUCCACAUUGACUGGCCACCCAUCUCCAGUCCUCAAGGUAGUUGGUGCGGGACCCAGCACCGGCUUGGCGGCGAGCUACGGAAAGUUGGUCUUCACAUGACCAACCGGAUGACAAUGGUAACAAAUCCUCAUAUCUGCUGGAGGGGCAGACUGAUGGCAGUCCCUAGCAUAGUUCCCUUCCUUGCCACAUUUGUGGCACCCACCUCUUGCUCGACAAACUCCCGAAUGACCCCUGCCACACUUUCCACAUGUGCGGCUCUGCUGACUCCCCGAUCGACUAUCAGCGGUCUAAGACUGCUUAGGCGCUGGCUGAGACUGUGUUGGUGUCUGGCGCUGCAUCUUCAGCAGCAGCUCCAUCUCAAACUCAUGCCGCCUCGCGGCUUCCUGUAGAUCCAGGAGGGUUUCACAACGCUGUGUAGCCACAAACUGCCGUAUAUUCGUCUUGAGCAUACUCAGAUAACGAGUCAUCAGAGACUGCUCUGACGCAAACUCCUGGCAAAAACAUAGCCCUCUCAGUGAACAUCCGAGUAAUCUCCAUCACAGACUCCCCAUCCUAUCUCAAUGUCAAAAACUCCUGAGCAAGCCGCACCCGUUCCACAUGCGGAACGUAGCGGGUGCGAAACAUAUCCCGGAAAUGCCCCCAAGUAAUAAUAGCCCACUGAUCAUCUGAAUAUGAAUAUGUCAUCAAUCUCCACCAUUCCUUUGCCCCGAGCCUAAGCAGGUUCAGAGCACACCUAACCUUCUAGUCAAUAGGACAUGAGUACGUGAAGAAACAACCCUCCACGUCAGACAACCACCGCAUAGCUCUGAUCGCAUCCUGAAUACCAUCAAAUGUCGGGGGCUUCAUAUUAUCAAAAUCCCGAUACUGGAAAGCCCUGCCGGCUCCUCCUCCAACCCAUGCCGCAGUUACAGCCGAAGUGGCUGCAGCGGCUGCUGUCUCUUCCAGAGCGGCAUAUCGCUCAUUGAAAUACUCAACCAUCGCGGUCUUGAUUGAUCCAAACAUCUCUGCUGUUGUGCUUGGAAAGCCGCAGCGACCUCAUCGUGUAGAAUCUCUCGAAUCCUAGCAUCUAGCACCUCAGUCCCUAUCUGAACCACGGGCUCUGGUGCUACCGGCACCUCUGACCCUUCAUCUCCUAACCCUGACCCUGAUCCCGAUCCAGCAGCAAAACGUCUCUUCACCACCAUACUGAAAGGUACACUCAGGACAUUAGAUAAAAAACAUAAUAUCGGGAGACGAAAACCCAAAAACCCUAGGGGUUGUGACUUCCUUGCUACACCUAUGGGUCCUGUGCUUCUAGUAGUACGCGCCCAUACUACCUUCCACAACAACCCAUACUUGUCUCACGUAUCACCACAACGCCCUAACACUAUAAUCAACCUAAUGUGCGCUCAACCCUCGCUACUAGGGGACAUCGCCUAUCUCACAACUGAUCUCACAGCUCUUCACAACUCACACCUCCAUGAAACUUCCAUCAGCCCCUGCAGCGCUAGUGUGUGCUAGCCGCACAUAACGCUGGACCCGAUAGACUUUCGAAUAUCCAAUCCUACCCUAAGGUUGAAUUAGGCACUCCCAGGCUAUAAGAUUUUGACUAUGCACAGUGGUGAUGCAUACACUAAACUUCUACAGUUAUGAUGUCAAUUCCACAUACAAGAAACCCUAGGCUAAUAGGUAUCAUAUAAUUAGGCAAAUCUACCACGCGAUUCCUGAAGAUCCCUAGCCUAGCACUAGCAUGAUGUUCUAACAUAUUAUAAUAUCAAAUAACUAUAUGGUAUUUUUGUUGGAAUAGUGUCUAAGGCUGCAACUAUAUUAGGCAAGUAUUUUGACCCGGUUGUGCAUGGUGCUUUUGGGUUGCCUUCACCAUAGCAACUUGAUAGGAUGAUUUAUUAAGAGAGAAUAAAUAUUAUUAAUAUAUUAUGAGAAUAAUAUAAAGAAUAAUAAUAUUGUUAUUUGAUUAAUAUAAGUCAUAAAUUAAUUAGUAUUAAUUUGGUGACUUAAAGAGAUUAAUUAAAUAAGAGGGUAUAAACUGUCAAUUGUUUGAUAGUUAAACUUUAGACUAUAAAUCCUUAUUGGAUAGGGGUUGGACGAAUUCUAGAAGCUAGGGAUAGCUUAAAAUCGUCCAAGGCUAUCUAAGGAAUGGAUUUGGAUUGCUUUAAGAGAAGAUUAUCCAACUAGGGUUUAAGUUGUAACCCUUAAGGAGUCUACAAGUAUAAAUAGACCCUAUGGCAAAGGGGAAUCGGCACUUCAUCUAAAGUAGAGAACCCUUGGCCGAAUUCCCUCCCCUCUCCUCUCUCCCAAAUCAUCCUCCUUGCUAUUUGGUGUUUGUAAGCCAUUAGAGGAGUGACAAUUGUGACUCUAGAGCUCCAAGACAACAAGAUCAAACAAGAGAUUCAAAGGUAUGAUUCUAGAUCUGAUUUAGUAUUGUUAUUACACCUAAUUAGUCAUUAGAAGUCUUGGAUUCAAAGCAUGUUUAAUUAGAAAGCCUAGAUCCAAGCAUUAGGGUUUUGCAUGCGCACAUAGGAAAGUUCUUAUGGCUAAAACCCAUCAGUGGUAUCAGAGCCUAGCUUGGUUUUCAUUAAAUUGUUGCUUAUUUGUCUGAAACUAAACUGCAAAAUUCGAUUUUUGUGUUUCUGAGUCAUGGACUCGGCGAGUUCCAUAGUGGACUCGGCGAGUUGGCCUGACUCGGCGAGUCCCUUGGUGCACUCGGCGAGUCCAAGCGUCAGGAAUGGCCAGAUUCGGGAUUUCUUCAUGAUUAUCUUAUGGAAACUUACCUUAAUCAUAUUAGAUCAACCCUAAUCCGAUUUUUUGAUAUAUAUGACUAUAAUCUUGAUCUAAUUAAAGAUAUUUAUCAACUAAUAAAAUAUUUAAUUUCCUUAUAUGAUAAUUAAUUAAUUAUUUUGAUUAAAUUGGUAAUUAUCUUGCAAGAAAUCUUGAAUAAAUCAAAUAUAGAUAAUUAGGAAAUUAAUUGUUAAUUAAAAUUAUUUGUUAUUUGAUCCUCCAUGUUUUAAAUGUUUAAAACUUGUCCUCAAGUUUUGAAAUUUAUAUUUUGUGAUUAAAAGUUUUAAUUUAGACAAUUUAAAUUUCAAACCCUAGAUUUUAAAAGGUUUAAAAUACAACCCUAUACUAAUAUAAUAUUACAAGAAUAAUAUAUAUAUAUAUAUAACUAAAAUGCUAGUCUUACCGUUAGUAGGCCUCAUUCACGAAGCCGAUCUAUAAGGUGGGUAUAAGGUUGCGGCCUAUAAAAUGGCGCUUAAUGGGUGUACACUCACACCCACCGCUUGCUUGAUCGGUGGAGGGUCGUUAGCCGAACGGGUAGGAUAGGGCAACCUCAUCCUCUCAUUAAAAGUAUAAUAAGAAAUACAAAGUAACUACACAUAUUUUAAAAUUUCCCAAUCUUAGUUACUUUAGGAAAAGUGAAUUGAUGCAAUCCCAUGAAAUUACACUUUGCACCCUUGCUAAGAAGUUAGUGGAGCGUGUGUGGUUUACUGGCACACUAAUUGGUUCUAAGCAAAGGUUGCAAAGGGUGAUUCAUUGCUUAUCAUAGUUCGAUGGAGCGUGUGUGGUUUACCAGCACAUCGAAUAGUUGAUCGUUACAAUGAAAGCACCAUAUGAAUUUGCAUGGUAAUUCACACCCACUUUGUGAUCCUCGGUAUCCCAGUCACAAACAAGAGGGGCAUAUCGAGAUUUAAACAUGCCAUUGAAUAGUUUCAAUGAAUCUCAUCCGAACCUAGGAAUUCUCAAUACGUUUAGGACAUAUAGUUAGUUUUUUAUGGUGGAGAAUUAGUGAAUCGUCAUUCACUUAUCUUCAAUUUAUUUGCAUUUUAGAUUACAGCAUCCCUUUUCUAAAUAUGUAAAUAUUGUUGUUGGAUCCUAGCCCUAAUUUUUCUUAUUGGGUGAUAAUUAGGGAUUCAUAUUCUAAUCUAUCUUUGUCCUUUCUAAUUGAAGAUCUCGAACGCAAACAACGUUGCUGCUAGUUCCUUCACAUUGAUGAGCCUUUGCCAAAAGGUCACCUUCGAUGGAAUGAACUUUAGCGAAUGGAUAAGAUACAUUCGCACCAUUGCUCGCUAUGAGGAUAAGGAGUAUGUCCUCGAUGAGAAGCUCGAGAAAAUCAACCCUGAAAUCGCUGCUCCGACUGAAAUAACCGCUUUUUAAUCUCAUGAGCGCGAUGCAACGAAGGUAUAUUGCAUCAUCAUAGCCACCAUGAACUCUGAAUUCCAAAUGUCCUAUGAGGACAUGUACCCAUACGAAAUGCAUCAAGACUUAUUGGAGAGAUACCAACAGAACGUGAGACAAGAGCGUUAUGAGAUUUUCACUAACAUGAUUUCCGCUAAGAUGGGUCAUGGAGAAUCUCUUACCGUGCACCUGCAAAAGAUGCAAAGGUAUGUCGACCGCCUUCGCAAGUUAAAUGUUGACUUUGGGGAAGACUUGGCGAUCGACAUGGUGCUUCACUCUUUGCCUCCGAUGUACAACCAAUUUAGGAUGACCUACCACAUGAACAAAGAAGAGGUCACCCUAAGCAAACUCCAAGGUCUCUUGAGGGUCGCUGAAAGCAACUUCAAAGACAAGUCUGUUGCACCAACUCCCAAUCCACCCGCUGCUCCUGUCUUGGCUAUUGGUCAAGGAAAGGGAAAGAAGAGGAAGGCUUCGUCUAAGAACUAUCGCAAGGUUAAAGCCCGAGAUGGUGCCUCUUCUAGUGGGACCAAAGUUGAUCCCGCUAAGCCCUGCCCUAACCCUAAGGAGGCAGAGUGCCACCACUGCCACAAGAUAGGACAUUGGAAGAGAAGCUGCCCAGAGUACCUGCAAGCCAUCAAGGAAGGAAAGAUCAAGCCAUCUUUCGCAGGUAUAUACACAAUUAAAUCUAACGAUUCUAAUCAUGCUAUUUCUUGGGUUCUUGAUACCGGUUGUGGUUAUCACAUUUGUUCUAAUGUGCAGGGACUAAGAAGAAGUAGGGAUGUGGAGCAAGGAAGAAUCAAUCUAAUCAUGGGGAACAGAAGAUCGUCGCCUGUGACCAAGAUUGGAGUGUAUUCUUUAGUGCUUAGGAAUAAUUUAUGUUUAGAUUUGAACAAUUGUUGCUAUUCGCCAGAAAUGGCUAGAAACAUCAUUUCAUUUCAUGGUUUAUAUAGACAAGGUUUUAGAUUUUCUUUUAAUAAUGAGAAUGGUUCUAUUUUGGCUUAUCUAAAUGGUGUCUUUUACUUUGAAGCUAUACCAUGUAAUGGAAUAUAUGAAACUGUUAUGAUUGUUGAUAACUUAGGAAAUGAUGUUUUGAAUAUUGAUUCUUCCACUAGUAUGGAUAAAGCAUCCUUGUGGCAUUGUCGUCUUGGACAUGUCAACAAGAAACGCAUAGCCCAACUCCAAAAGGAUGGAGUGUUGGAGUCAUUCGACCUUAGGGAAGAUGACACAUGCGAGUCUUGUUUGCUUGGAAAGAUGACUAAGUCACCCUUCACGAGUACGUGUGAAAGGGGUGAGGGUCUAUUGGACUUAAUACAUACCGAUGUAUGUGGACCGUUUAGAUCAACCACGAAGGAUGGGAACCGCUUCUACGUGACUUUUACCGAUGACUAUAGUAGAUAUGGGUAUAUCUACUUAAUCAAGCAAAAGUCAGACACCUUUGAAAAGUUCAAAGAGUUCAAGAAUGAAGUGGAGAAUCAAUUGGGCAGGAAAAUCAAGAUGCUUCGAUCCGAUCGAGGAGGAGAGUACCUAAGUCUUGAAUUCCACGAUUAUCUCAAGGAGUGUGGAAUAGUUUCACAAUUGACGCCUCCUAGGACACCGCAGUUGAAUGGUGUGGCAGAAAGGCGUAAUCGAACCUUAUUGGAUAUGGUUCGCUCUAUGAUGAGUCGUGCUUCACUACCUAUCUCUUUUUGGGGGUAUGCCUUAGAGACUGCCGCCCAUAUCCUUAACCGAGUCCCUACUAAGAAGGUUGCCAAAACACCUCACGAGAUGUGGACAGGGAAAGCUCCCUCGUUGGCACAUAUCAAGGUUUGGGGUUGCGAGGCUUUCGUAAGACGAGAUACUCACGACAAGCUUGAACCUCGAAGUGAGCGAUGUAUUUUCAUCGGCUACCCGCAGACAUCCUUUGGAUAUCUCUUCUAUAGACCGAAGGACAAUGUUGUCUUCGUUGCGAGGAGAGGAGUUUUCCGAGAGCGAGAACUCAUAAGCCAAGGAGACAGUGGGAGGCAAAUCGAACUUGAAGAGAUUCAAGAGUCGAUAGAUGAAGGAACCUCUACCGCUGGCACUCAACCCGAGGAGGAAACUCCGGUUGAACCGAUUGACGAAUCCUUACCUCUUAGACGUUCCGAUAGAGUUAGAGUUCUUCCCCAGUUUUAUGGUUUUCAUAUUACUACCGAAGGGGACACGUAUAUUAGUGAUGGUACACUAGUAAAUCUUGAUGAACCUAAUAGCUAUAAGGAAGCCAUGGCAGGCCCGGAGUCUGCAAAAUGGAAAGAGGCAAUGGAUAGCGAGAUCCAAUCCAUGUAUGAUAACCAAGUUUGGAAUUUGGUUGAUUAUGUGCCCGGACGUAAGACCGUUGGGUGCAAAUGGAUCUUCAAGAAGAAGACCGACGUGGAUGGAAACGUACACACAUAUAAAGCGCGAUUGGUUGCGAAGGGCUUUACUCAAACUCCCGGAGUUGACUAUGAUGAGACCUUCUCACCAGUUGCGAAGAUUAAAUCUAUUAGAGUGAUGCUAGCAAUUGCCGCAUUUCAUGAUUAUGAGAUUUGGCAAAUGGAUGUCAAGACCGCUUUCCUUAACGGAAAGUUGGCUGAGGAUGUUUACAUGGCUCAGCCAGAGGGGUUUGUGGAUCCGAAGCAUCCGGAUAGAGUGUGUAAGCUUGAGAAGUCCAUUUAUGGACUUAAGCAAGCGUCUCGCAGAUGGAAUCUUUGCUUCGAUGAGAAAGUCAAAGAGUUUGGAUUUGUACGAAGCGAAGACGAAUCUUGUGUAUAUGUCAAAGCCAGUGGGAGUAUAGUAAGCUUCCUCGUUCUAUAUGUCGAUGACAUAUUACUCAUAGGAAACGACAUCCCGACUCUGCAGGAGGUUAAGUCCUGGCUCGGGAAGUGCUUCGCUAUGAAGGACCUCGGAGAGGCUUCUUACAUUUUGGGAAUAAGGAUAGUAAGAGAAAGAAGUAAGAGACUAAUUGGACUUAGUCAGAAUACUUACUUAGAGAAGGUACUAAAACGUUUUAGUAUGGAAAACUCAGAGAAGGAAGAAUUAUCGAUACAAAGUAAUGCCAAGUUGAGUAAGAGCCAAAGUCCGAGUACCGAAGCUGAAAUAGCAGAAAUGAGCCGAGUACCAUACGCUUCCGCAGUUGGCUCAAUCAUGUACGCUAUGACUUGUACUCGCCCUGAUGUAGCCUUCGCUUUGAGCAUGGUUAGCAGAUAUCAAGGGAAUCCUGGCAAAGCACAUUGGAUUGCGGUGAAGAAUAUCCUUAAGUACCUUCGGAGGACGAAGGAAUGGUUCUUAGUCCUCGGAGGGAGUGAUGACUUGAAGGUGCGAGGGUAUAGUGACGCCAGUUUUCAGACCGACAGGGACAACUACCGUUCGCAGUCGGGCUGGGUCUUUACCCUAAAUGGAGGAGCAGUGACAUGGAAAAGUUCCAAGCAGGAAACCGUAGCUGAUUCAACGUGCGAAUCAGAGUACAUUGCAGCGAGCGAAGCGUCGAAGGAGGCAAUAUGUCUGAAGAACUUCAUCAGUGAUCUUGUAGUCGUACCUGCCAUAAAGGAGCCCAUGGAGAUUUUCUGUGAUAAUGAAGGAGCGGUUGUCUUGACCAAGGAACUGAAGGAUCAUGGUAGAUCACGACAUAUCGACAGAAAAUAUCAUUUUAUCAGACAUCGUGUAGAAGAAGGACAACUCGUAGAGAAGAGGAUAUCAUCAGAAGAUAACCCAGCAGAUCCGCUUACGAAGGGACUGAGUAGGGUUAAGCACUUACAGCAUGCUAGGAGUAUUGGGCUGAAGGAUGAUAUUAGCAUAGAUUAGAUAGUAUUAGAAACGUGUAAUAGAUAAAUGUAAUUAACAUUUGAUGAUUAAAUAAAGGAGUUUUAUUUAUGAGUAAUGUUACUAUCUUAUGUUAAUUGUUUAACUAUUGUUUCAUUUUGCAUGUUUUGACUUCCAGAAUAAUUGAAUUUAUUAAGAAUAAUUAAAUUAUUCAAAUUGUCCAAAAUCAUUCAUAUGUUGGAAGUAGAUAUGACUGAUGAUUGUCAUGAAUUGGUGUGUAGAUUGUCUAAAUGGUGUUAGACAUAGCAAAGGGUUGCUGCAACAUUCAUGAGUGCUUAUGAACUGGUUUUGAGCAUUGAAACAAACCCGCGCUUGCUGGAAUCACCUUAUGGAAUAUGAUAUAAAAGGGUGAUCGCAAGACGAUAAUAUCAUAUAGUCUUAAAACCUAGAUAUAUGGUUUGUUAUUUGUUAAUUGAUUGUACAUUGAUAAUGCGAAAACGCAUCAGUAACUCGGUGUUAUAAAACGCAUUGUUGUGUAUAGUUGAUUAAUGAAUAAGUAAAUGCAUAUAAGUCGAAGUUUAUCUGUAACUUUUAUCCUAAGAAGGUAAAAGCGAUAUCUCGGCCGCUCGAUGAUUUGAUUUGACUUAUGUGCCGGGCCCGGUCAGAACUGAAUUGAUGUGUUCGAUUAAGUUCUAUGUCAAAUAAAUCAGAGAUCGAGAAACCUAAAUGCUUGACUAACCAUUCCAUAGGAUUGUCAGCAUGAUAUCUAACAGAGGACUGUACGUUCCCUUAUCUAAAGGACAAGAUUGAUUAGAUCAGAGUUGACAGCGUCUUUGAGAGCUACGAUUGCAAACCGAAUUGUACUUGUAUAGUUACUAGACUUAUCCAAGUGGGAGACUGUUGGAAUAGUGUCUAAGGCUGUAACUAUAUUAGGCAAGUAUUUGAUCCGGUUGUGCAUGGUCCUUUUGGGUUGCCUUCACCAUAGCAACUUGAUAGGAUGAUUUAUUAAGAGAGAGUAAAUAUUAUUAAUAUAUUAUGAGAAUAAUAUAAAGAAUAAUAUAUUGUUAUUUGAUUAAUAUAAGUCAUAGAAUUAAUUGGAAUUAAUUUGGUGACUUAAAGAGAUUAAUUAAAUAAAGGGGUAUAAACUGUCAAUUGUUUGAUAGUUAAGCUUUAGACUGUAAAUCCAUUUGGAUAUGCUAUGGACGAAUUCUAAGAGGUUUAGGAUAGCUAAAAUCGUCCAUAUGCUUAUCUAUGGAAUGGAUUUGGAUAGCCUUAAGAGAAGAUUAUCCAAUUAGGGUUUAGGUUGUAACCCUUAAGGAGUCUACAAGUAUAAAUAGACCCCAUGGCAUAGGGAAUUCGACACAUCUCAUAAAGUAAGAGAACCCUGGCCGAAUUCCUCCCCUCUCCUCUCUCCUAAAUCAUUCUUCUUGCUAUUGGUGUUUGUAAGCCAUUAGAGGAGUGACAAUUGUGACUCUAGAGCUCCAAGACAACAAAAUCAAACAAGAGAUUCAAAGGUAUGAUUCUAGAUCUGAUUUAGUAUUGUUAUAACACCUAAUUAGUCAUUAGAAGUCUUGGAUUCAAAGCAUGUUUAAUUAGAAAGCCUAGAUCCAAGCAUUAGGGUUUUGCAUGCGCACAUAGGAAAGUUCUUAUGGCUAAAACCCAUCAAUUUUAGGAUUCACUUACAGGCUCCAACUGAUCGUACCCUUUGCAUCCUCCAUCCUUUAUUUUGAAAACUGUUUCUGAAACUUACUUUUCAAAAAUCUCCUUGAUUUGAGACUGGAUUAACACGAGUGUUCCUCCAAUUCACUCAAACCAAGGCUCUAAUACCAACUUGUAACAUCCAUAAAUUUUACACCAAAUUUAAACUUUUUUCGAUGAUAAUUAAAAAUCAAAUAGCAUUGUUUACAAGAGUGUUUUCAAAUCAAUAUCCAUCAGAGUAUCCCAAAAUCAUUACAUAAGGAUGAUGAGCAGUACGGUCACGCCUUCGCCUUGCCAUGAUCCCCUGAAGUACCUGAACAAUAAACUGAAACUGCAAGCCCAAGGGGUUAGUGAGCUACCCCCAAAAUACCAAUAGCACACUGACAAUGCCAUAUCAGUAACAAUCAAUCUAUCAACAUGCAUACUGGCCAUCAGCCUGACUGGACCGCCCUACUGGGCCUACAAUCUAUCUGAAUUUAUCCCGAGCCUUCGGCACGACUGGUCUACCUCGUGGGCCUGCAGUCUAUCCGGAACGCUCAUAGGGUAUGUUGGCAUUUAGCACAAAGCAAGACUACCUUAACCCAACCAACAAGCAAAUAACCAUGUGCGCAUAACUAUCAUAUACUAGCAUAUACAAACAUCAAACAUAUUUAUCACGCUUAUCAUCAAUCAUAGAAUUCUCUCGUAACUAGAGUACCAACGUAGCAGGUCACUAACAUAUCAGUCCUUACAAAUCAUAUGAGCAUAACAUACUGUCUACCCUAAUUCCGAUCUUACAGAUCAUAACCACAUGUAGCCUACCAUUGAUGGGUUUUGAGCAUUCUAACACUUCCUAAGUGUACAUGCAACCCUAAUAACCUUGAAUCUAUGUUUUUUCUAUAUACACGCAAAUUUAUUUUUCAAGGUUAUUUCCUAACUAGCAUGGCAUGGGGAAUAUAUAAAACAUAAAACUAGUAGAAAUACAUACCUUGUUGUUGCUUGGAUUCCUUCAAGACUUUGUGAGCCUAGCACCCCAUAUGUUGUGCCUCAAAUGCUUCACACAACACUACAAACGUGGAAUAACUUGAGAGAAUGUCACUUAGCCUCAAAAUCGGUUGUGCCCUCUUAUGAAUACCCUAGUGCUGAUUUUGCAUGGUAUAGGGUUUCUUUUAUAGUGUGUCAUAAUUAGGAGUUACAAGUGUAAACCCUAAUUGUCAUGACUCUUCAUUUCUCAUGACCCAUGGACUUGUAACUCCCAUGGACUAUCCAUGGAGCUUCAUAUGGUUAUAACCAAACCUAUAAACCAUGGAUAAUUAAUCCACCAUAAAAGAAUUGAUGAUUGUCAUAAUCAACCCUAUAUAUUUAAUUAGUCUCACUUUGAUCACCAAAUUAAUACUAUAUUAAUACUUGAUCAAUACUAAUUAAAUAAUACUAUUAUUAAUAUAUUAGAACUUAUAAUAUAUUAAUAAUCAUAAGCGCCUUAUUCUCUCAUCUAAUCUAUCCAAGUAUUGCAAUGCCAUGCAACCCAAAUGGACCAUGUCGGGUCGGGUCAAGUACAUACCAAAUAAAGUUAUGGACUUAAACACUGAUGAGAUAUGGUCCACUAGCAUGGCCUAGACUGAUCUAGAGCCCCAGCCUAGCCUGGCGCGCUCCUGCCAGCCCUGCCUGGCGUUCCCUUGCAAGCCUCGGUGGGGACUCUCGCACCGGCCCGGCCUGGUACUCCCUUGCCAGCCUUGCUGGGGACUCUCCUGCCGGCUCGGCCAGGCGCUCCCUCGCCUGGCACUCCCUUGCCAUCCUCUUCUGGUGGGCUGACCCAAGGCCUGACCUAAUUCCCAUUGACCUAAUUGUCCCCUAUAUAAUAAAUAGUACCUCUUCCAUGGAGAGGGAUCUUUCCCCAGAUCUACCCCAUGGCUCAGCCGCCACUAUACUCCGGCCGGGUGGCUCAGCCGCCACCUGCCGCCGUCAGCCACCACACACCACCACUAGCACCAAGAUGGUUCUCUCUAGCUAUGGAGGACCAUCUCUGAUCUACCAGAUGAUCUAAGUUGACCGUCGGAGUUCGCAACCUCAAAAUUACACAAGCACUGCCAUUUUUACCGUUUUACAGUUUGUAGCUCAUUGUCUUACCAAAUGAAUGCAAAAAAAAGGGAGAAGGAUACAUAGUGCUCCAUAAAAAAUGGAUGGUGCUUAUACCUCGUUCUAGAUAAUAAAAAGGGGGGGGGGAUGGGCAGUAUACACCACAUGCUAUAAGACAAGCAUUUAGGUGGGCCCGGGUCACACAUCUAAAAAAGAAGCAAAAAGACAAAAGGAGUUGGCAUUGGACCCCACCUGCCCCACUGGCCAAGGGAUGCUAUUUCACGCAUCGAUGACCCAAUCCAAGAUGGUGAUAAUCGCUCCGCCAGCAACCAGAUCCUGUAGCUUCCAGUGGCAACCACCGGUCUUUGUUUCUCGAUUCAUCAUUGGGGAAGCGAAACCACAGUUCCACCAAGACCAACGCCGAUAGCUCCAACACCGAGAAACCACAGUUCUGGUCUCCACCAUCAAUGCAUCACCGAUCGCUGAUAGUUGCUUCAGCAUCCGUUACUCGUCUCCAGCAGACCAAUGGCAGCUACUGCGAAGCCAUUCUGAGAUGCAACCCCAUCAGCGACCUACAUACCAUUCUCCUGUCUCUAACACCUACCUGGCAUCAUCGAUUACCAUCAACACCAUUGACCCAGCAAAGUAACCGCCGGUAAAGAAAACCAGAACACAAGCAAUCGCCGGAGCUGUCUCUGGUCAGUCCCUGCCCAUCAAGAAGACUACCAGGAAUAUCUGGUUCGCCGCCGGCAGAUAGAGCAGCAGCAUCGCCAAUCGAUCCUCCUAUAGGCGCGGCCUAGCACUGCCGCUCCUUCACUGCUCGUCACAGGCCAAAAGCAGCUCAAACUUUGGUCGUCAUCGGAAUGGAUGGAUCGAUCGCAGCCGCCGGUUGUAGCCAUCACCUUCGAACCACUCAUGUAGGCAACCUUCGGUAGUUGUCGGCUUGACAAGGCAGCACCCCCAACAAGAACCACCAUCGGCCAUCGUUGAACAUUUCUUUUUGGCACCUCCUCUUCAAAGUGGUAGGGAAAGGCUGAGGAUAUCACGUUUCCUUUUUCAAAAAUAAUGAAAGCAAUGGGCUAGGUUUACGCAUUCGAAAAGAAAAGAAGAAAAGAGGAUUUGGGAUCCAAAUGGGCUGCGACAAUUCCACAAGUGGGCUUCAUAAGUUUUAUGUUGGACUUGGCCAAUUACUUCACUGGGUUGUUGCACUUAAUUUGGGCUCCUUUAGUUUUCAUAUUGGGUUAUCUUAGUAACAACGAAAUGUCCCAACUUUGCAAGACAAAAAUCAACAAUUUAAUAUUUGCAUGUCGCAAGCCCCGCUCAGCAAAUACUUCUCAAAAUACGCUUGGUGUUUUCAAAAAAAAAUGGGGGAGGGACUCAGCUCGUGAAGCAUUUCGAAAUAACCCUCAGUAAGCGUGUUAUUUGGCUAUUAGCAGCUGUGUUGACCAACCCCAUGAAGUCUCACGACUCAGCUCUCACCAUUAAUGGUGACCGGCUUCCGCUAGCCUCAUUGCU
This 54061-nucleotide long non-coding RNA is filed under the name Lactuca sativa (garden lettuce). RNAcentral describes it as "long non-coding RNA (LSAT_LNC005511)". The record is from RNAcentral. Lineage: Eukaryota; Viridiplantae; Streptophyta; Magnoliopsida; Asterales; Asteraceae.